RNAcentral lists this long non-coding RNA (79063 nucleotides) under Zostera marina. The record is from RNAcentral. Lineage: Eukaryota; Viridiplantae; Streptophyta; Magnoliopsida; Alismatales; Zosteraceae.
UUUUCAUUUUCAGAACAAGUGUAACGAGAGUCAAAAAGACGUCUCCAAAUACAAGAAGAAGUUCAAUGCUAUGAAAUCAUAUAUGAAGAAACUGAAUAAGACUUUGAAGACUUCUGGACUCGACAUGACGCAGAUGGCUUCUACUUCAAAGUCCACAAUACCGUCUGCAUUCGGAUCAGAUAUUUCUGAUUCUGAUUCAGAAGACUCGCUUUCAGACGAGUGUUGAUUAAACGAUUUUUUUUUCUUAUUCAAACUUCGAAUGUUUAACGAUUCUGUAAUUUAAUUUCUUUUUAAUAAAAAACAUCGAUUUCAAUUUCAAUUUCAAAAUCGUUUUCUCAAAUAUCGAUUUCUAUUUCAAAAAACAACGAUUCGAACGCAAAAUAUAGAAUCCUGUUUUUAAAAAAAAAUGUAACAAACAUUGUAUGACGGAUUUCAGCCAUCUAUACUCUUCUACUAAGGUUUAGAUGGCGGAAAUCCGCCAUCUAAAUAUGGGCACAAUCGCCCUCUCCUACGAAUAGAUGGCGGAUAUCCGCCAUCUAUAAACUAAAGGAGCCUCCUUCUGUACUUUAGAUGGCGGAUUUCCGCCAUCUAAUGUUACAAAGAUAGUCGGCGGACAUCCUCCAUCAAUGAAUUGGCGCCAAACUAUUCCCGCGCCAUAUUUUAGAUGGCGGAUUUCCGCCAUCUAAAACUUUUCAGUUCGCGCGAAAAUUUUCAGAUUAGAUGGCGGAUUUCCGCCAUCUAUACGAUUUUUGGUGGAAAAUGGGGAUGGAUAAUAGAUGGCGGUCUUUAGAUGGCGGUUUAAGGGUUUUAAUGGCGGUGUCCAAGAUGGCGGCCUUUAGAUGGCGGAUUUCCGCCAUCGAUCACUUUAGAUGGCGGAUUUCCGCCAUCUAAAGACCGCCAUACAAUGUCUUAUUUCUUGUAGUGUUACGGUAAUGACAGUAGUAUUGGUGACAGUUGCCUAAAGUGGGAUGUCACUAGUUCUGCAUAUUUGUUUGGCGUCGUGGUAUUAUUCUCAAAUAGGAAAGUGUCUUCAUCAAAGAGGACGUAUCUGGAGGCUAUAAUUCUUCUUCUUGACGGGUCCUUACAUUUGUAGCCUUUGUGGGUAGAUGAGUAGCCGAUAAAAAUACAUCGGGUUGCCACGGUUUGCAGUUUAGUUCUUUGGAUAUUCGAUGUGAUAGAAAAACACAAGCAUCCAAACAUACGAAGGAGAGAGUAGUCUGGGAAAUGUUGGAAGAGGAGUUCGUAUGGAGAUUUAUUUGAGGUGGUGAUUGACGGAAGUCGAUUGAUAAUGAAGGAAUGACGGAAGUCGAUUGAUAAUGAAGGAAUGACGGAAGUCGAUUGAUAAUGAAGGAAUGACGGAAGUCGAUUGAUAAUGAAGGAAUGACGGAAGUCGAUUGAUAAUGAAGGAAUGACGGAAGUCGAUUGAUAAUGAAGGAAUGACGGAAGUAGAUUGAUAAUGAAGGAAUGACGGAAGUCAUAUGGAGAUUUAAACGAGAGUGAUCGUUCGACCAAUUUACAAAAUAAGACAAAGUUUGAAACGAAAUCGGAUUUGAGAGCAAGAGGGAUGAACCAAGUGAAUCUUGAGAAGUUGUCGACUAUGCACGCAUAUAUAUUAUCGGAAUCUUUCUCUGGAGUUAACCGGAGUCGGUCUUUAUAGGUCUAGGUGGAUAAUCUCUAGAGAUUCUCUUACAGUGUAUGUGCAAUGAUGAAACGAAGGUCUCUUGGCCUUAUUCAUAGCACACACUUGACAGAAUGGAAGGGUGGACUGUUGACGAUCAACGGAAAGAGGUGCUGAAUUUAGAAUACAAGAUAAGACCGGUUUUUCCGGAUGGCCCAACCGGCGAUGCCAUAUUACCAGAGUAACUUUUGUGCAAGCCAAACACGUACUGUUUGGUGUUGACGGAGCUUGCUUGUAGGUUAGUUAGGUGAUAGAGCCCUUGGAUGCUAUUGUCACGCAUGAUUGUAUUCUCCAUUCUCUUGACCUUCACGUCAAACCCAAUUUUAUCAAAAAAAAUAUAAUUUAGAUCGCGAGAUAAGGAUUGAAUGGAAAAGAGAUUUUUUAUGGUGACCUGGAACACUUGGACAUUGGGGAUGGAAAUUUGACCAAGAGAGGUCGGGAGAGACAAUGCUCUGUCUUAAGAUGGGAAGUUGAGACCCAUUUCUAACCAUUACUAUGCCGUUACCUUGGUAGGGCUGAGAGGUAGAGAAGGAGUUGAGUGAGAGCGUCAUGUGGUUGGACGCGCCACUGUCAAGACACCACGAGCUGUCGAAGGUCACUGAUGGUACGUUGUUGUUCAAAGAGUGGGUGUUGAAAUCGUCUCCAAUGAGAUAGGUGUAGUAUGCGAAAUUCCUUGUGGCAAGGAGACUUGAUUUUCCCACCCAUUCAAAGCAGAAGAGAUUGAUCGAGGUGGUUAGACCACCAGCGAUACCGGCUCCUUCUCUAAUAAACUUUGUGGCAGAAAUGCGAAGAAGUAAACAAGAGAGUACGAUCGAAGAGGCACAUUUGCAUAGACUGGUGUACAAUCGCCAUUUACAAUUCCGAUUUAUCAAUGCAAAUUCCAAGACUGCCGCGAUCGACCUUGGAAUCUUCACAGAGGUUAAAAUAUAUAUAUAUUAACGGUUGAUUUAAUUUGUUGAUUGCAAUUUACAAGUCAAAACUCUUUUAAUUUUUGCUCCAGAAAACCCUAUACAGUGCUUCUGUAGCUAUUUCCGAAUUGCGUAAUUCUAUUGCGGAAAAACAAAUCAAGCUUCAACUUCUUAGACAAAAUCUGAAGCUUACAUCCAUUGUCAAGGGACAGGUAAGUAUUGCAUUGAAUAAAAAAACCAUUGACUAAAGCUGAACUAACUCAUUCUGAAUCCAUCUCAUGUAGAUGUCAUGUUUCGAGGAGUAUUUUGUUAUUGAAAGAAAGAAUCCUGGAUCUUUAUAUGGAUGUAUUGAAGCUUGGAGGGAAAGAACAAUUCCUCUCCUUUUAGUUAGAGGAGCCAGAGUUAAUGUCAUAAAUUAUAAUCAUUUUCAAGAAAAUAAAAAUAAAUCAAACAACAUUUUUUCUGAUUAAUUAUGAUUUUAUAGGAACCGAUUUCUAUGUCGUAUACUUCUGUUAUUUUAUGUUGAUAAUGAAUGAUGUGCUAGCAUAUGCGUCAGCCUAGAGUCCAAGAGGUAAGGAGGCUUAGUGGAUGAAGCAUCUUCCGACAUCUCCAAUGUAUCCAUACUUGCGCUCAACAACCCCGUUUUGCUGGGUGUAUAUGGGCACGAGAAUCUCUGUCGAAUGCCAAGAUUGGAUAGGAAUUGACGAAAAUUGUGACCGACAAACUCGUCGUCGGCAUCACAUUGAAUAUUUUUGAUUUUAAACGAGAGUGAUCGUUCGACCGAUUUACAAAAUAAGACAAAGUUUGAAACGAAAUCGGAUUUGAGAGCAAGAGGGAUGAACCAAGUGAAUCUUGAGAAGUUGUCGACUAUGCACGCAUAUAUAUUAUCGGAAUCCUUCUUUGGAGCUAACCGGAGCCGGUCCUCAUAGGUCUAGGUGGAUAAUCUCUAGAGGUUCUCUUGAAGUGUAUGUGUGUGAUAGAACUAAAAUUCUAUCUAGAAAAAUUUCUGAAAUAAUAUUAAACAAAUAAUCGACCUGACUAAAUCUUGUGCCCCGAUCUGUAGAUCGGGAAUUGAUCUAAGAUUUACAAGACAGAAGCAAGGAAAAUAACAGUAAACGAAAUUGACCUGAUGAGAUUCGGGCGUCUCCGAUCAGUUGAUCGGAGGAUCAAUUGAAAUCGAGACGGAAGCGAUGCUCUGCUCACUCGCGAGAGAUGAUAGCAGAACCUGGAACGAGAAUGAGGAAUUCGGAGAUCGAACCUCGCUAUGCUCAGCACUUGCUGGACGAGUUCGUCAAGAAUUCCAAGAAAAUCUGUUACUCGACACUUUGACGGAGACUCUUUCAAUUGGACAGGGAGAAAACCUUGAAUUUUAUUUGCAUACCUUUCAAAUUACUUUUGGUGCCCUUUUUAUAGGGGAAUUUACAAUUGAGUACAAAAUUAAAAGCUUAUUACAACUACUAAAGGAAAUUUAUAUCCUAAUUAACAGUUUUUUUAUUACAGAUUUUUAACUAAAAAUAAAAGAGUCAUUAAUUAUUAAAUCGGAUCGGAGCUUUCCUUAUCCGCACCGACCUUCUAACUGGUUGCUCUUCUUCAUCCUUGGACGCGGAUCCCUUGCUGUCAACGGAUAACACCUCUUCUGAACUUGUCACGGAUCCCUUGCUUGUAUCUGAUUCUUCUUGUUCUUCCCUUUCCGAAUUCUCUGACUCAUUUUUUUCCCUCUGUUCUGAUAUUGUCAAUUCUAAUUCUUGCUGGUCAUCUACUGUUUCUUCAUCAAUCAGCCUGCAGAUGUCUGAUAUAACUGUUUCUGAUGGUAGAUUUACUCUAUCAGUGCGAUGAUGAAACAAAAGUCUCUUGGCCUUAUUCAUGGCACAAACUUGACAGAAUGGAAGGGUGGACGAUUGACGAUCAACGGAAAGAGGUGCUGAAUUUAAAAUGCAAGAUAUGACCGGUUGUGCAGGAUGGCCCAAAACCGGCGAUGCCAUAUCACCGAAGUAACUUUAGUGCAAACCAAAGGCGUACAGUUUGGUUUUGACGAAGCUUGCUUGUAGAUUAGUUAGGUGAUAGAGCCCUUGGAUGCUAUUGCCACGCAUGAUUGUAUUCUCCAUUCUCUUGGCCUUCACGUCAAACCCAAUUUUAUCAAAAAAAAACAUAAUUUAGAUCGCGAGAUAAGGAUUGAAUGGAAAAGAGAUUUUUUUAUAGAGACCUGGAACAUAUAAGAUAUUGGAGAUAGAGAUUUGACCAAGAGAGAUCGGGAGAGACAAUGCUCUGUCUUAAGAUGGGAAGUUGAGACCCAUUGCCAACCAUUACUAUGCCGUUACCUUGGUAGGGCUGAGAGGCGGAGAAGGAGUUGAGUGAGGGCGCCAUGUGGUUGGACGCGCCACUGUCAAGGCACCAUGAGUUGUCGAAGGUCACUGAUGGUGCGUUGUUGUUCAAAGAGUGGGUGUUGAAAUCGUCUCCAAUGAGAUGGUUGUUGUAUGCGAAAUUCCUCCUAUUGUUACAUUUGCGAGUUGUGUGACCGACGUGGUUACAUAUUUGGCAUAUUUGAUCACCAUUUGAAGCCGGAGUUUGUAGGAGAGGUGGGGAGAAAUGUUCCGGGUGACGGUAACUGAGUGGAGGAGCAUUGUAUACCAGGGCUCGUGGGUGCACCUGAUUUUGCAAAUGGUAGAAUCGCGCCCACGUCUGCAAUUGAAUCUACCACCUCGGAAACGCCCACGUCCUUGGAAUCUUCCUCUAAAGUUGUGGUGAUAAUUAUUUUGCUGGUUAUUGUACGACGGUGUUUGUUGGUUACUUCCCGUCGUUCGUCUGCUCUGUUGGGCUGUGAAAGCUAUUGGGUUUGUCGGGAGGCCUUGUUCUCCUCGAUAAGUCCUCUUCUUGGAGCAGGUGGCUCACAAGUUCAUCGAAGGAGGUGGUUGGGUUGAAGUGUAGGUGGGUGAGAAAGCUACGACAUGUUUCAUCCAGUCCAUCGACCACAUACCCUAUAAUUUCUUCUUCCUUUAUGGAGGAGCCAAUUGUGCGCAGAGCAUCCACUGUUGCUCUGACGUCUGAUGAGGUACUCGAACAUUGUAGUGUCUUGUUUCUUCUUGGUUGCUCGGAGUUUCGAGCGGAGAGCCUUAAGAUAAAUAUUGCACAGUGGUGAUCGACAAGAAUCUGUCAAGCAGUAGCCACGCCUCCUUGGUCGUGGUGCAGUGGAGUAUCAUUGCUUGGACGGACGUCGUUGAUCGAAACGGUGGAUCUUAUCCACAUAAAGACAAGUUUGUCAGACUUGACUAACUUAUUGUACUCCGGAUAUGCUUCUCUGGUGACUGUCUCCGCCUUUUGGUCGGGUUCAUCAAUAAUCGGAGACAGAUCGUGCAGUUUUAAAACUUCUAGAAAAUGUGACUUCCAACAUAUGUAAUCGACUUUGUUUAUUAGGUUUCUGAAGAGAGAGUUGAUCUUGUAGGCUGUAGGGAGACAAUGGGGGUUGACAGAAGCUAGAAGUUGGUGUUUGCAGUAUUUUCAUGAUGGUGGUGGGAUGAUAUUGGUGGUGGUUGUGUUUGCUUAUGGGUUGUUUGUGAUGAUGUUUGUUUAUGGGUGGUUGAUUGGGAAGGUCUUGAAAGAAAGUAGCGAGCAUGUUUUCGAAAAUGAAGGAAAAUGAAGUUUAGGGAUAAGAAUCGGUGAAGCUCUGAUACCAUGUGGACCGGACCGGAGCAGAUCACCCUCCACGAUCCGCCCCGUUCUUAACUCUGGUUUUCUAUUAAAAGUAAUAUAAAUGUAAUGUAAUUUUUUUUUAAGGUGAUUUUGAUUAAAUAGAAAAUUAAGAGAUUACAAACCAAUUAACUAAACAACUAAAAGUAGAUAAGAUGUAUGGAAUAGAUGUAGCGCGCUAGUUCUCGGCUUGAAGGUCAAAAACCAAUAGCGAGGUUUCCUCCUAUCUUCUGGUAGUUGUAUCUGUCGCUCGUCGGAAGUGGAAAACUGUUUUUCGCGAAAUGAUCUCACUCGCGGUCACUGGGAGGCGUGGAGCCGAGGUCUCACUCGAGGUCAUUCGAUCAAGUUAAAAAAGAGGUUAGGGAGGAGAUUUGAUCUGAAGGCUAGGCGUGGAGUGUAGCUGAUCUGGGGUGACCUCGCUCGCUCCCCAUUUCUCGAUCUCGCAUGCUCGCUCUCUUCCAAUCCCUCUUUCUCGGUCGAUCGCCGCCAGGGCUCGCUCGCGGUCAGUGACCGGACUUCAACUCGCGCGUUGGCAUGGCUCGCUCUCGCUUGCUCGCUGGCACCGGUCUUCAACUCUCGGUCGAAUCGCCGACCGGGCUCGCUCGACUCGCUCGCGCUUAAUGACAUGCCUUCGCUCGCGGUCAGGCAGCCUUCCCUUCGAUUUGCGAUCAGACAAAUGUUUCUACUUCGCGCGAUUCACUCGCUGAUUGCGUUAGCUCGCUCGUUCGCUGGAGGGCGAACGAGCGAACUUCUCUUCGCUAGGGAUUUGUCUGUAAGGGGGAAAAUCGCUCCUCCGGUUUGAUAGUGGAAAUGUAUUUUAAUUUUUAUUUACUUAGGCAAGUGCUUUUGGUAUCUUAUUAAAAAAUGAAAAGUUUAUAGGGUAAAUUAAUAUCUCAAUUAAUUACCUUACAUUUUACCUAAAUUGAAUGAUAUAUAUAUUAGGAUAAAGUAGAAAAUGUAAUUUUGCAAAUAAGCAUGGAUAAUUCUGUCAUUCCACAAACAAACUCUAUAUAAAAUUUCUUAAAACCCUUCUACAGAGCGAGUCGUCCAUUUCAUCAAAUCCUAAACCCUAAAAAUCAUGCGACCUCCUCGUGGCGGCGGCGGUUUCCGUGGUAGAGGCGACAGAGGUGGUCGUGGCGGUGGAGGCAGGUUCGGUGGUGGCCGUGGUGGAGGAGGUCGGUUCGGUGGUGGUGGAUACCGUGACGAGGGUCCUCCUUCUGAAGUCGUGGGUAAAAUGCAUUCAAAUUCAUUUCCCCCCUUUUUUCUUCCUCCACCUCCCUAUCUGAGAGACUGAAACUGUCUGUUUUUUUUUUUGCAGAGGUAUCUUCGUUCGUGAACGCAUGCGAGGGCGACGCAGUGACGAAAUUAACGAAUGAGAAGAUUCCGUAUUUCAAUGCUCCGAUUUAUCUACAGAAUAAAACUCAGAUCGGCAAAGUGGAUGAGAUUUUUGGUCCGAUCAACGAAUCUGUUCGUUCGUUCUUCCACUAUUUCUUUUAAAAUUUGUUAAUCUUUGAUUGGAUUUUAAGUCAUUCAUUAAAUCAUUGCUCAUUUUUUUUUAAUCUUUGCUCUUUUUGUUUGCAGUUAUUUUCAAUUAAGAUGAUGGAAGGGAUCAUUGCAUCAUCGUAUGCUUCUGGGGAUAAAUUUUACAUUGAUCCUGCCAAGUUGUUGCCUUUGGCUAGAUUUCUUCCACAACCAAAGUAGGUCAAUUUUUUAUUCUUAUGAAAUUUGAAAGCAUAUUGUUUUGAUAAAUUAUCUGUUUUGUUAAAUUGAGAGGAAACGAUUUGCAAUGUCAAUAUAAACCAAUCCUUAAAACCUUGUUUAUGAUAUGCUAAAGGUAGUAGAUAAGUAGAAUUCACUUUAGGGCUUGUUCUUGGUUUCUUGCCUCUUGGUAUUGUCAAUUUUUAUGGCUAUUUCUAGAAACCCUGUGUUAUAAACUAAGAGUAUUUUUUGCCAACCUUUUGUGAUUGUUAUAAACCACUUGGUAUUGGGGUUUUCAUUUAUGAUUUUUUCAAAGCAUUUUUUGCCAAACUUUUGUGUUACGACUUAUGAGAUGUAAAAUUGGAAUGGAUUAUUUGUGAUUUCAGGAUUGUUAUUGGGUUUAUUUUUAUUUUUAUGAUCAUUUUUGCAAUCCAAGCAGAGUAUCAUAAGAUUUUAAUUGAGCUGUUUAGGGUUUAUUAGUUUUACUUAUCAUUCAGUAAGAUUGUGAUUUAGCUGUUUAGGGUUUAUUACUUUUACCAUUCAGUAAGUUCUAACCUUUAUUACUUUUAUUAGAUGCUAGUUGAAUGUUGAUUUGGGUUUCACUGCUGCCAUUUAUAAUAUGUUUAGCUUGGCUUAGUUGAUAAGGAUUUAUUCCGACCUCACACUGUUACUUUAAAAUGCAGAGGGUCACAACAAGGAAUGAGAGGACGUGGAGGUGGAAGGGGUGGAGGAAGAGGAGGACGGGGAGGGGGAUUUCGUGGCAGAGGUCCUCCAAGAGGUGGUGGCAGAGGUCCUCCAAGAGGUGGUGGUGGUCGUGGCUUUGGUGGUCGUGGUGGCGGUGGUAGAGGAAGAGGAAGGUUUUAAGAAAUAACUAAGAUGCUACAAAAAAAACUUGUUUUUAGGUUUUGAAUCAUCAUUAUGAGCUUCAAAUUAAUUUUUUUAAUUAGUUUAGUUUACUUUUUGUAGGUUUAUCUUAUUUAUUAAGCUUGUAAUUGUUAAAUCAGACAAAAUGAAUGCUUUUAUCUUUUCUUUUGAGGAUCAAUUUGCAGUUUUCUUUGGCAGAUAGAAUUUUUUUUUGGAACAAUCUACACUGAUGUUAGAACUAGGGAUAAUAGGGAUAAUGUUAGAACUAGUAAUCUUAGAAGGGCACAUAUAAGCACAAGAGCUGUUGGUAUAUAGAAAUAUAGCUAAAUUCGACAAAAAACUACAUACUUCAUUAACAUGUUGUAAAUAUGUUUGUGGCCAACAAUAAUCGUCAAUCAUAAACAAUAGCAGUGACAAUCUCUACUAUCAUUUUUACACUCUCUGUUUUUGCUGACUGCUCGAUCAGACUGACAAAAACAAUUGCAAACAUCAUUAGUAUAAUGUUCAAUGUUAUUGUUUGAACAACACCUGCUGGUACCUAAGAUGCGAAAUUCAGGAUUUCGCGCUAUACAACCUGAUGUAAUUGAUCAAGAAAUGCACAUGGAUAAAUGAAAUAUUGAAACUAUUAUAGUAAAUAACUGAGAAAAUAAGAUGCAUUGUGCGAUUUAAACUUUUGACCAUUACCUGUCACCGAAAUCACGAUCAUCAAAGAGAAAAAAAAAAAUGCUACGAUGUUGGAUCUCAUCAUCUUGAUUUUUACCGUGAUAAUCUAGUAGGUUGUCCAAUAUUUUGUUGAGACUACUGCAAGUAGAGUCUUCAAAGAUACUACUUCUGCCACAGAUGAAAAGGUCUCUUUGACUUUUCUAUCAGGUGGUAUGUCAACAAUUUCCCAAAUGUUAUUAAUUUCAAGAGCAGUCAAUCCUUCAUUCAUUGUCUUUACCCAUUUUGGGCUUUGGCUUUCCCGAGAGAAUGAGGUUGGCUCAGAUGCUAUCGAUUUUUUUUUCCAGAUAAUCUGUGUAUGAUGUGGACAGUCUCUUAUAUGUGAUAUAAUCAUGCAUUGGAAAAGAUGUUCCUUUUGAUUUUCCAUUGCUUGUGGCAAGAACAAAAAUAAUCUUUCAAUCUUGCUGGUGUUACCAGAUUUCUCUGAGACCUCCUAAGUGUGUUUCCCUCAUCCUCAUUGUUUAGGUGAGAGGUAAAGAUGUGUUCUUGGUUGUCAAGUUGGGACCGAUCAGAUUCACACCCAAUUGUAGAUGAAUUUAUUGAAGAUCUAGAGUUGAAUGUGUCCAACUCAAGUGAAGGAGUUGGUUCAAAUUCAAUGUUUAGAUUCUGAGAUGAAUCCUCUCAUAUGGAAGUGGUAAUGGCACCUAAAAAAGAAGUCCUGCCAUGUGUGUGGGGCAGGAGGUAAAGACUUUCAUUCAAUUCAGGACUUUGUCAUGAAUGAAAACACAAUUUUUAGUAAAUUGAACAGUAUAAUUGUAACAUCCUACUUAGGUAUGUUAACAAUCUGAUACUAAAAUUUGACAACGAAAUAAAUUUACCUGUCCAAUAAUUUUAUAAAUUUAAAUACCAAACAAUACUAGGAUUUUAAAGGUAACUAAAACAAGGUUUUACUAACAACAUUGUUUAAGAUCGAUCUAAUUUAAUGAUUGAAAACUCCGAGAUGUUCCAUCCCAUCCUCGCAUCCCGUAACAUCUACUUUCACUCAUCCAUAAAUCAAAAUAUGGAUGAGUCACUAUAUCAUGACUCAGUAUGGUUUCCUCUACAUAUCAGUCAAACUGCAUUUUAAAGCAAUCAAAAUCACAAAUAUCAAGUAGAUCAUAAUAUUUUUUCACUAUAUUAUAACACUCACACUUCACAUAUAAUUUCGUCAUCCGAUAACACUCACACUGCACUUGUCAUUUGGUUCAUACCAACAUUCCCAUCACUCACUCAAUAACACUUUACUUACCCAUCACAAGAUCUCACUUAUAAAUUCACAAAUCAAUUAACAUCAUGAAGAUAAAUGUAGACCAAUCUGUAAUUUUAAAUAUCGGUUAAAACUCUGAAAGAAAGAGUAAGAAUUUUGAAAAUCGUAUGAUAGACUCACAUUCAACAAGGAAGCUAUAUUACAAGAUGUACACCAGAGAGUACGGCUAGAGGAUGGUGAGGAAAGCGAUAGAGAGUUACCUGACAGUAUUGACGGAGACUGGGAAGAUGCAGAGGACGAUCUGGAGCAUGAUGAAGACGACGGAACGGCUGCUGUUUUAAGUGACGCGGAAGAGGAAAGAAUACCUAGUGAAGAGAUAGAAGUUAUAAAUGAAGAGCUUGGAAGAGGUAAACGAGCCAGGCGGGUUCCAACUCAUCUUAAUGAUUUUAAGAUGAGUUAAUUAAUUUAUUUCGUUGCUGGACUUUUAGUGGGCAUAGCCAUUUCGUUAAUUUAUUUUUCAGACUAUUUAUAGACUUUGUAACCCUAAACCUAGGGAUUAUCUUUUAAUAAUUAUCGGCAUUUGUGCCUCCAAACAAGAGGACAGGGUCCAAACAAGACGACGGUUUCAUCAUUUAUCAUCGUAGUAGAUAAAUAGAAAAUCAAACCAAAUGAUAUAUGUCUAAAUAAUCAUGAGAUUGUAAAACUCUAAAAGUCAUGUAAAUCAACCUGCAAAUUCUAAACGUCGGGUAAAACACCGAAAGAAAGAAUUUGAAUUCUGAAAGUCUGAAAAACUAAAAUUUAACCAAAUUUAAAACUAAAUUCUACAAAUUAAACCAAAUUCUGAAAUUCUGCAAAAUUUAACUAAAUUCUGCAAAAUCUGAAUUAUGUAAAUCAAACCAAAUUUAAAACUAAAAAUCUGAAAAUAAAUGAAAUAAAUGUUCCUGUAAACAAAACAAAAAAAAAUCAACAAAUCUGCAGAUAUGAUCAGAAAAUCUGAAUUUGUUUAGAAUUAAACCACUCUACCGAUCAGUGUCCACAGAUCUACAAAUCUGAAAAUAAACUUUCAUCAAUCAGAACAUAAAUACCAUAUAUACCGACAUACAGUUCAGAGAUGUUAAUGAUCGAUCCUAUCGAUCCCCCAUAUGAUCAAAACCCAACCCAAUCAUUGAUGAAAGUCAUUCACGAAACUAGUGAGAAAACAUGUCAAUAAAUAAUAUAACAAAUAGGAAGAAAAGAAAUAAUGAAACCAAGGUACCAGUCCUUCACAUCCUACAAAACAUAUGUCAUAAACACCUAGGGUGACAUCAAAAUAACACACGACAGAAUAACAUCUGUCACAUUAAAAGAUCUAUAAUUUACCAACACACCCACUUUUUAACCGAUUCUAAUCUCUGAAUUCAUCACAUCAGUCACCCAAUCCAGCAACAUUGAUCAUAAUUUUUAUGUUUGCAAAACCCAAAGCCACAUGUAAAUCAAUGUAUCUUCAAUAUUCAGAAAUUUCCCCUAUCUAUUUAUGCUCAAAAAUCUUAUAUCUCAUUUUGUUUUUGAGACCUUUUCCUACACAAUCCACACCAAGCUUUCCAACCACCUCGACACCUUCUCACUCGUUUCCCGAAUGAUCCCUCGCCGGAGUUUCGUCUUCGUCCCCAUCCUAGUUUUGCCGGAAUAGUUGUCGUUCUUCUUCCACUCACGUUUCCCCCCACCUUCCCUCUUUCCAUCCUUUGUCUAUAUACUCCUUUUUUUUCUUUUUAAACUCUAACCAUUAUUUUAACAUGUUUUCACUUGAAUGGACCUAACUCACGAAAUUGGCCCACUUAAGUCGAAACUUAUAUAUAUAUAUUAUAGAAUAAAAUUCAGAAAAACUCACCUAAUAUGAGUUCAAUAGUGUUCAAGUCUGUAUGAGGAUGUGUGCAACCAAAAUAUUAAAAAAUAAUAUAAUUAAAAGACGGUUUAGAUGACUUUGCACAAUAUCCAACGGUUCAGAUAGGGUGAUCGUUUUUGAGCUCACCCUAUGCUGAGCUUACUGGAAAAAAGUAAGAUAACUGAGAGUAAGUUAGCUAACUGAGAGUAAGUUCACUUGGAAGGAAGGAUGACAUAAAAUACACAUUUUUCAUAAAAUUAUGAAACAUUCACAUUUAUGUAAAGAUUUAAAUAGAGAAGCAUUCCCAUCAAAUUUCAUCUCUCAUCAGUGUGUCUAAAUGCUGCACAGUGGUAGCAGUAAUAUUUUGUGUUUAUUUGCCUACCACUUUUGUAGUAAAUGAGUUCAGUGGGAGGUGGAAGCCUCUUCUUUGGAUUUGAUGAAGAAGGUUAAAUAAUGUACGGCGCAAAAUAAUAAUAAUAUACUGCAAAAGACAUUAACACAUGUACGACGUAAAAUCGAUCUAAUGGACAUGAUUAAUUUGACGUAUUUUGACCUCGACACACCUGAUAAUUACUAAAUUGAUUUAAAUGAAAUGUUUAAAUAACUUAACUAGAUCAAAACGGAUAUGAAUACAGAUUUCGGUAUACCAUUUACAGGCUUAAUCAGAAUAGUGUGGUUGCACCUGAUCCUAGGGGUGAACGCGGGUCAGGUGGAUAUUUUAGAUCACGAAACCUGAUAUGAAAGACCUGAAUCUGAGUUUUUUUCAUUCGAUUUGAGACCCGAACCAAACCUUACUCACCUGAAACCUGAAAAAAUUAUUAAAAAAACUUUAAAAUAUAAAUAAUAUAAAUUCAUCAGCCCUGUUUUUGUAAUUUUGUAUCAAUUCUUAUAUUUUAUUGCAAGUUUUUGAUUUGUCUAUGAAUUUUAUAAAAUUACAAAUAAGAUAGAAUGUAGGAAAAUAAAUGUAAUUAACCUCUCCAAGAUUGUAUAAAUAGAUCUUUUCUCUAGGGUUUCGUCUCUCAAAAAUCUUUAUUCUUUCGUCCGGAACGGCACCGGGAACCUGAAAAGAAUAGACCUGAAUUCAAAGUUCCCGAAGUAGGCGGCGAUGGUUAGUGAUUCAAUCCAAGAUCUAGAUUUUUCCUUCUUCCGUUCUGUUUUGUUGUUUUUCUAGAAAUCGAUUGUGUUUGUUGGAUCGACAUUCGCUAGAUCAAAGGUGUUUUUGUUGAUGUUCUUAUUAGGCUUUAGUUGCAAAUGAGGAUUUUCAGCAUAUUCUCCGUGUGUUGAACACGAAUGUGGAUGGGAAGAGAAAGAUCAUGUACGCCCUUACCUCCAUCAAGGGUAUUGGACGGCGUUUUGCAAACAUUGUCUGUAAGAAAGCUGAUGUUGACAUGAACAAGAGGUUAGAUUGAUCUCCUUUUUUGGAUUCAGCCCCCUGUUUUUUUAUAAGAUAUUUCGAUCAGAAUAUUUAAUUCCUCAAUAUUAAUUUUAGAAUAAGACCAUCUUGUAACUCAAAUCCCUAUUUACUUUAAACUUUCAAUUAUUUCUUGUUUCCUAACUGUUGGUAUUUUCAAAAAUUUCAAUUUUCAAUUUGAAUGAUUAUUGAAUCAGUAUCAUUCUGUCAAUUUAAAAAUCACAAAUAAUGAGUAUUUUAAUAGUUACAUUCCAAGAAGAUAUUCUGGAUGUUAUAUUUCUUUGUUCUAAUAAAAUUAAUUUGUUCUUACCAUUUUUUUAUUCUAUAAUUUAAAAUUUAUGUUUACAUGUUGAAAAAUAGCUAAAAUAUGUUGAGAUUCGUUCAUGUUUUAGCUACACAUGAACUAGACAACAUAACUUAAAAAAUGUCAUUCAAUUUUGAAAAUAGCUUAUUUUUAUUUCCAGGGCUGGUGAAAUAUCUGCAGAAGAGCUUGAAACUUUGAUGACCAUUGUCGCAAAUCCCAGACAAUUCAAAAUCCCAGACUGGUUUCUCAACAGAAAGAAGGAUUACAAGGAUGGAAGAUUCUCCCAAGUUGUUUCAAAUGCAUUGGACAUGAAACUCAGAGAUGAUUUGGAACGUUUGAAGAAGAUCAGGUUUCCUCAUCUUGAAAAUUUAUUUCUUUACAUUCUAUUAAAUCUAGACCGUUACUUGUUCAAUCAAUAUAUGGAUUGCAUGCAGGAAUCACCGUGGUCUGAGACAUUACUGGGGUCUUCGUGUCCGCGGACAGCAUACUAAGACAACCGGUCGCAGAGGAAAGACUGUCGGUGUUUCAAAAAAGCGUUGAUUAUUCGUUUAUGUGUGGUUUUUUAACUUUUGUUCUCUGCUUAUCUUUGUUGAGUAAGAUUUUGGAUUAUGUGAUAUUUUGAAGAAUGAUUUCACUUUAGAUUAUUUAAAUCUCGACAUCAAUACAUUAUUCUGUAUGCUUUUAUUUUAUUCAAAUUGUUUCUUGUUUUCUUUACUAUAUACAUGGAAUUUAGGCAAUAUUUUGUCAAGGGUUUGAUUAUAGAAGAAAAAUUAUAGACGCAUCUGUGGAUGUACUCUCCUACGACGAACAAAAUGAGAUGCGGAUUCCAUGUUCUUGAAAGAGUUGAUCUAAAAUGAGUUGAGACCAAUUCAGACGAGGUAUGUAACUUCAGAGGCAUGGUCAUCUUUGAGGAUGUUAGCAGGAAUGAUGUGAACAACAUGCAGUCAUAGAUGAGUAUGUCAACCUCAUUAGAUGACAGUAAGCAAUAUCAAUAAACAUAGUUAGCAUUGCAUAAAAACAUAGAGAGAAAAUAGCUCAUAGGAGAUUGAAUACAGAGAUAAGUUAGCCAAAAGGUGGAACAAAUCUCUAAAAUCUACACACAUGGAUCGACAACACAAAUGUAAUACUUGAUGAUAUGAUUAAAACAACAAAUCCACAAAGAAAAAAAAUUCAUUGACAGAAUCAAAGCCUCAAAGGUAUAGUCAUUUAAUCGUAUAUGUGAUUUGACUAUGACAAUAAAAUGUUUACGGUAAAAAAAAUUAGGGCUAAACAUUUGACAAACAACGGUAAGAGGACAUACCCCAGAGGUUAAAUAUUUCAAAUAAUUUUCGCAGGCAAGGACGAUGGCGGUAGGAGCUAGGAGCUAUAUAUAUCGGCUAUGUUGAUAAACGAAAGAUAUAUGAGAAGGAAGAUUCGACCAUAAAUAAGUUCGUCGCCUAAACUAUCGGAAGAAAAAUCAUGGUGGACGAUAACAAAAUCUACAAUGGUAUGAACGAUCGUGGGGGCAUCGUACGGGCGAGCCGACGUCGUACCCGACGAAGGACAAAUCAGAACCUCCAACCACGUACGAAUGGUGAAGGGACGGCGAAUGUACGUGCUUCUGCAAAAACAUGACGAACGGUCUGCAGCGAUCUGCAGAGGAAGAGAACCGUAGCAAAAUCGCGAAAUAACAAUCAAUUUCUCUUAUGUUUGGUUUUUUCGUGAAACACUGAAUUAUUUAAAAAUUUAAACUCACUUAGGAGUUGAUGAACGAAUCCAUGUUAUUUCACAUGAUAUGUUCUAUACUCUGUUUCACAGGAAAAUCUUGAUAUUGUGUUUUGUUUUUUUGACUUUCUAUGAUAUUAGUGAACUUCCUAACAUUAUACUGUAUACAUAAUUCAGAUGUGGAUUUUUUGGUUAUUUGGAUUACAAUACCCAUGUAUGUCCAUUUUAUUUUCCUUUUUAUAAAAAAACAAAAGUAAAAUAAAAUGAGCAAAAAGUUCAUUGACUCUUUUCCAUUAACUAUGUAAAGAUAACCAUAUUACUCAUUCCUUAUUUUUCAUAUCUUAAUUAUCUUUAGCAUUCUUGCUGCUCUUCCUUUUUUUCAGGUUAUACUUUUCAUAAUCUCUUGUUCUUAUGAUUCAUAUUCCCUUUAUACAGUUUUAUCUGGUAUCAAAUGUCAAUCGAACCAACUGGAUAAAUAAACACUACAAAAAAAUAAGACAUUGUAUAACGAACUUUUGACGGCAGAACAAUAGCUUUCCCUAAGAUUAAUAAUGAUACCCCAGCCCAAUAAGCCUGUACAACCCAAUGGAUCGGGCCCAUCAGGCUCAAAAAGAUUCUUGGUCCAAAAGUGUUAUUGUAUAAAUAUUCUUAAAGGUGGUGAGAUUUUGACCAUUUGUAAAAAAUAUAGAAGAAUGUGUGGUAUAAUAUUUAUUUUUUAUAUAUAAUAUCAAUUAAUUAAGAUAAUAUUUUCAAUUAUCAUAUAUUUUGGAUUUUUGGUGAGUAUAAAUUUACAAAUAUACCAUAUUUAUUUGAGUCUUAAGAAUUAUUGAAAUAUAGUCCCACAUCCAAUGAAUCCAAUAAAAUAUAUUGUUAUAUAUAUCAAAGACUAGUAUAAUAAAUGUCUCUUCGGAGACAUCUGAUAAAAUUGGAACGAUACAGAGAAGAUUAGCAUGGCCCCUGCGCAAGGAUGACACGCACAAAUCGAGAAAUGGUCCAAAUUUUUUUGCCUUUUCCGCCACCCGUUCCUGCGAUUGAUCUUUCUCAUUUAGAGUUCAUAAGGUUCUAUUCUGAUUAUUUCUUUUACCAUUUCCGUCUCUUCCUCCCAUUUUUGCGAGGGUUACAGUUUCCGUCGAUGAUUGAUGAUCUGCUUCGUCUAGGAGUUCUGAGGUUUCUUAGACGUUGAUGUUAAAAAUAGGUACAGUAUUUUUAUUUUGAUUGUUUCUUUUCCUACUUUCAAAUUUGAUUUAAAUCCAACGAUUUUACCCUCAAUUUUUUUUUUACUACAACAGCUCUUCAUUGAUAAUCUGAUUGUUGUAUUUGUAGUCUUGUAGAAUGCUGAUAUUAUUUCUACCUUUUUUUUUAGUUUUUCUUUCUUUCACUAUUAACAUCUCUAUAUAUCAAAUCUUUUCAAUUUUCUAAACUUCAAUUCAUAAAAACCAAGCAUAGAUUCAAUCUGUUUUUCUUUUUAAAUGUUCUUCAUAAAAUCAAUUUUCUUCUGUUUUUUCCAGAAGACCAUAUCAAUCAUGAUUCUUCAAAAUCGCCAGAAAGGAAUGAAGCCAAAGAAAUUAUACCAGAGGAAGAUGGUGAUAAGGAAAGUGAUUCCACAAUUUUUAACACAAGACCAUUUGGUUCUUCUUCACAUACCAAUUUGACAGUGGACAAUGAUGAGCACAAAAAGGCUUGUCAGGUAAACAGUUAGAAUAUGCUGACUGAGAUAUAUUUUCAAUUCAAGUAACACAUUUAGAUUAUGCAGUAUUAUUGAAAUUUAAUUAUCUGAACCAAUUCAUCUAUUUCUUUGUUGAUAGGGAACUUCAUGAUGAAGUAACUGAAGCUAGAGAAAAGGUUUCGUCGCUUAAGUUGCGAAGGCAAGAAAAAGGGGCAAGUCGUCGGGAGAAAUUGAGACCAGCAUAUCUUCGAAAGCAAUUGGAGAAAUUCAAAGCUGCCAAUGCUGGGAAGUUAUCAUAGCUCACAGUUCUUCUUAGUUAAUGAUCAAAUUGACUUAGGAAUCACGCUGAUAUGUCAAAAUAUCCUCUGAUGUUGCAUAUCAUUUGCACUCUCAGCCACUCAGGUACUUCCAGUGUUAUCUAGUCAAGACAAAACCAUUUACCCAACCAAAGUGUAGAUUAGGCUGAAGAAGAUGAGAGAUCGGAGGUGUGUGUGCGAGAGCAGUUAGGGUUCGGAGUCGAGGGGUCGCCGGAUGAGAGCUUGAGACGUUUGGAACCCUAGUAGGAUUUAGUGUUUUUUGAUAUUUGAAAAAGUUGAGUUAAAAGUUAUUACAAGAACUAUUUAUAUCAUGACCUAAACUUAAUGGGCCAACAUUGGUUGGGCCUGGUCAUAUCUAAAAUAAUAUUAAUCUAAAACAUUAAUCUAAUUACUUAAUCUUAAUACCCCCCUCAAGCUGGAGAGUGUAUGUCAUAGAGUCCCAGCUUGGGUAGCAGACUUCUUAGAGCUUCAAGACUUGUCGGCUUUGUUAAUAUAUCUGCAAUUUGAGAUGUUGAUGAAACAUGCUGUAGUUUAAAUAGUCCAGCUUGUAAAUGAUCACGAAUUAGAUGACAGUCAAUCUCUAUAUGCUUUGUGCGUUCAUGAAAAACUGGGUUUGUUGCAAUGUGAAUUGCUGCCAUAUUAUCACAAUGUAGUGUUGUCUGUCUUGAUGGUUUUACCUGCAGAUCAUUCAAAAAAUAAUGCAACCACAUAAUUUCACAUACAGUUGAUGCCAUAGCCCUGUAUUCACUCUCAGCAGAUGAUCUACUGAUAGUCGUUUGUUUUUUUGAUUUCCAAGCUAUAGCAGAUCCACCUAAUAAGAUUGUAUAGUCUGUUAUUGACCUUCUUGUAUUGGGGCAGUCUGCCCAAUCUGCAUCACAGUAGGCCUCUAGUUGUAGAGGUGCAUCUCUUUUGUAUAAGAUACCUUUCCCUGGUGCACCUUUGAUAUAUUUCAGUAUUUUGAUUGCUGAGUUAAAAUGUGAUUGUUUAGGUGCUGCCAAGAAUUGGCUAUGAUGACUAACUGAAAAAGCUAUAUCAGGCCUUGUGAUUGUCAAAUAUAACAAUUUCCCAAUUAGCUUCCUGUAAAUUGAAGGAUCCUUUAAUGGGGCAUCCUUCUCAGGGUUUUUGUAGUUGUGGGACAUUGGAAUUUUAGAUGGAGAGGAUCCCAGUUGUCCAAAAUCAUGUAGUAUAUCAAGGGCAUAUUUCCUUUGUGACAGGAAUAUACCUUGGUUUGAUUGGGAUACCUCAAUUCCUAGAAAGUAUUUGAGUUUACCCAAAUCCUUUAUAUGGAAUUGUAGAUGUAGGUAUUCUUUUAGUUUUUGAAUUUCAGCUUCAUUAUCACCUGAUAUAAUUAGAUCAUCCACAUAAAUAAGUAGACAAGUGUAUGAAUUUGUAGAUGAUUUAAAGAAUAAUGUGUAGUCAGAGUGAGAUUGGGUGUACCCAAACUUAGUCAAUGCUGAGGUGAGUUUUUCAUACCAAUUCCUGUUUGCCUGUUUCAGGCCAUAUAAAGACUUCUUUAGUUUGCAUACCCUGGUAUCACCUGAGGGUAGCAUCCCUGGAGGAGGAGACAUAAAAAUCUCUUCAGAUAAUUCACCAUGUAAGAAGGCAUUACUUACAUCCAUCUGAUAUGUAGACCAGUUUUUGGUUGAGGCUACUGCUAGCAGUGUCCUAACAGAGAUGAUCUUUGCCACUGGUGAAAAGGUUUCCUUGUAAUCAAAGCCUUCUAUUUGAGUAUGUCCUCUUGCUACAAGUCUGGCUUUUAACCUUUCAAUUUGACCAUCAGACUUGUGUUUGACUUUAUAUACCCAUCUGGAUCCUACUAUCUUCCUUUCUUUUGGCCUUGGUACUAUUUCCCAAGUAUCAUUCAGUUCAAGAGCUGCAAGCUCAUCAUUCAUGGCUUUUACCCAUUCCUGGCUUUGACUUGCUUGUUUGAAGGAUGUUGGUUCAGUUGUGAUAGAGAUUUUGUCUAAGUAAUCAGUGUGAGAAGUAGACAGUCUUUUGUAUGUUAAGUAAUCAUGCAUUGGAUAUGAUGUGCCUGUAGAUUUCCCUGUGCUUGUGGCAAAUGAACAAAAAUAAUCAUUUAAUUUUGUUGGUGGUUUUCUCUGUCUACUUGGAUAUCUUUGAUUUUGUGUUUGAUUCUUUUCUGAAUUUUGGAGUAUUGCUGGUGCAUCAAUCACCUCUGUUAGAUCUGAGUGUUCAAUAUUUGAUGUUGUUGAGUUUGUGUCAGACUCAUCUGAGAUUGAAUUGAGUUGGUCUGUCUUAGAGAGAUCAGUGUCAGUCAAUUGACUUUUGCUUUGAUUUUUGUUUGAUAUUUGGUCAUUUGAUUUGUUUUCAGAUGUAUCAGUAUUCUUAUUUAAGGGAAACCUGUUUUCAUAAAAGAUCACAUCUCUACUUAUGGAGAUGUGGUGAGUAUCUAACUCAUAUAUGAUAGAACCCUUUUGGGUUGUGGAUUGCCCUAAGUAUAUGCAUUUUCUUGCUCUGGGGGAGAACUUGUCUUCUUUUACAAGACAAGUUGCAUAACAUAAGCAACCAAAGGUCCUCAGACCUUCAUAGUCAGGUUGUUUGGAGUGCAUGAGUUCAUAUGGGGAUUUAUCUUCAGUCACCCUAGAUGGUAACAUAUUGAUAAUGUGGGUGGCCUGAAUUAUUGAGUAUCCCCAUAACUCAAUUGGUAUUGAGGAUUGAAGUUUUAAGGACCUAGCUACAUUUAAGAGGUGUUGGUGUUUCCUCUCAACCACACCAUUCUGUUGUGGUGUGUGUGGGCAACUAGAAUAAUGGAUGAUUCCAUUAGUUUUGAGGAAUUCAUCCAUUGUUGAGGAGAAGAACUCUCCACCAUUAUCAGUCCUUAUAGCCUUAAUAGACUUACCAAAAUGAUUUUUGAUAAGAGCAUGCAAGUUUCUGAAAAUAUUGAAACACUCAGACUUCACAGUAAUUAAAUAUGUCCAAGUAUAUCUAGUAUAAUCAUCUACCACAGUUAAAAAGUAUUUCUUCCCAUGGAUUGUUGAAGUGUGAAAGUUCCCCCACACAUCCAUGUGAAGUAAUUCAAAUGCAUGUUUAGUUCUAGAAGCAUGCAGUGGAAAUGAUUUCCUAGACUGUUUAGAUAGAUGACAAAUAUCACAGUGUUCAUCAAAAGUAAAGUUUUUAAAAUCUAAAGAAUUGUUUAAAAUGUUUUUAAGUCUGUCACUAGAGGUGUGACCCAAUCUUCUGUGCCAUGUUGUUGUAGUGAUGGCACCUGCAAAACAGUUUCUACCAAUGGUUUGUGGUAGAAGAUACAACCCUUUCUUCAUUUCACUCAGACCAACUUCCUUCAUCUGAACCUUGUCAAAUAUGAGGGCACAAGAUUUAGAGAAUUGAACUGCAUAAGUAUCAUAUUGUGUUAAUUUGCUAAUUGAUAGCAAGUUAACUUGAAAGGAUGGGGUAUAGUACAUAUCCUUUAGUGUGAUAUCAGAUGAAAUUACAAUAUCACCUUUUUGGGAUACUGUCUGACUGUCCCCAUUGGGCAGUGAGAUCUUAAAGGGAUCACACUUUGUAAGUUUUAGAAAUAAAGAUUCAUUGCCACUCAGGUGUUCUGAUGCACCUGAGUCAACAAUCCAGUAUGUGUUAAUGGAAUUUGAAAAAACAUUAUUAGCAUUACCUGAAUCUCUGCGCUUAGGCAGGGGUCUUGGAUUGUAUUUCUCUGAAUAUAAUGGAAAGUCAUAUGGUCCAAUUGGGUUGUCAGGAGAUUCAGCUUUCUUUUCAUCACUGUCCCAAGCAGACCAGGUUUGUUCAGAGUGUACACAGUUGGCUGAGCCCUGUGCCUUGUUAACCACAGUAGGUGUAGGUGUAACAGGUUUUGGUUUUGCAACAGAGGAGGUGUUCCUAGAAGGAUACCCAUGUUGGUUGAAGCACUUCUCAUCACUGUGCCCAAAGGCUGCACAGUAGAAACAUUAGUACCUUGUAUUUACCUGUUUGCCACUUCUGUAGUAUAUGGGUUCAGUAGGUGUAGGUGGCCUUUUUCUUUGGGUAGAUGAGGAUGGAGUAUCUGUUGGUUUAGUUGGUUGGUAGGGUGCUUUUCCUUUGACUGAAUAGAAGGCAGAGCCUUGGUUAUUUGCAUUCCUGGUUAACUGUUGCUGGGCUUCUUCAUGGAUGACCAUUGAGAAUACCUUUCCAAAGUUAGGCAGCUUAUCCAUAGAUAGUAUAGUUGACCUUAUUUGCCUGUAGCUGUCAUUUAGGCCCAUCAGAAACUUCCUAACUUUGAGCCUUUCUUCCCUUUCAUUUAUCCUGCCAUUGACAUUGCAUGUGCAAGUGAUGCAACUACAUCUUGGAACCUCACCAUAAGCAUCUACCUCUCUCCAUAGAGUUUUGAGGGUAGCACUGAACUUAGAGACAGAAUUAGACUCCUGUUGGAGCAUAGCUAUGUCCUGAGUCAGUUGGAAUAGGUGAGUUUCAUUUGAUUGCCUAUACUGAUCUCUGAGAUCAGCCCAUAUGAUAGAAGCAUCAUCUGUGUACAUGAUCUGUGAAGCUAUCUCUUGAGAGACAGAGCUCCAUAUCCAUUGUCUUAUGAUCCCAUGACAGGUUACCCAUGCCUCAUGUUCCUCUAGAUCACAGCUCAGUGGCUCCUUAAUAGUACCAUUGACAAAUCCUAAUUUUCUCCUAGUGAUCAGCAUUGUGGUCAUCUCCCUGUUCCAGGGGUAAUAGUUUUGGCUGCCCUGCAGGAUGUUGAUUAUUGAAGGAGGUCCAUAGUCUGUGGAUUUGAAAAAAUAUAUUGAGGUGGGGUCAAACAGAGGACCACCCAGGGGUUUCUUUUGCACAACUGAGGCACUCUGAACAACCUGGGAAUUCUCUGUUCCAGACAUGAUGAGUGUUCUGUAGCAUUUCACAUGAUAGUAAAAUUGCAUUAGUUUAACUUUGACUAAUCUUGAAUGAAUCAAAGAUAGUAUAUUUAGUUUUAAAUCAAAUAGAUUGACUUUGUCAGUGGUGAUAGUUCCACUUUUGCUUUUGUGAUUGAGUAGCAGCGGAAGUGAUGUGUAGUAGAUCAUCAGUUUGAUUAUGCAAAUGCAAUUAAUAAAACAAAGAAUGUCUAAGACUAAGCAUAACAUGAAAUAGACCUCACAUUGCACAGUUAACGAAUAUAUAUGUGUGGAAUGUAAGAUUACUCUAUGUAAUAUAUAGAUUAAGUUUGAGAAAAGAAUCACUCUAAUAUCUAAUUUAUUUAGUAAUACUAAACAGUAAAAGCAAGUAUGUAUCAGUGAAUGAAUAUCAUGUGUGAUUAAGUAUUGGAGUAUGGUAUCGAUUAUCAUAGCAUUGAGAAUAACAUGCAUCGAUCUAUAUGUAUGUCUGACUAGUCCAUUCCAGUACCCAUGUAAUAAUAUUCCUCCAUAUAUAGUAUCAAACAUAGCAUGAAACAUUUGUAUUAAGUAGAUCUGUCCCUUUGUAUAGGGUUUUGUUUCCAUUAAAGAUAGAUAAAUGAGUAUGUAGAGACAUGCAGAGUAUCUUAGUAUGAGUCUACAGUAUUUAGUUGGAAGACCAUACAUUGUUACAUUUUCAUAGUAUUGGUGGUAUGUCGAGUUUAGAAAUGAUCUAAGAACAACCCUACUGUGACAUGCAUCAAGAGAUCUUCUAGAUCUAGGUCGAUAAACAUGAAUAACAUUCAUAGUAUAUAAAAUGAACUCAAAACACACAUAGACUAGCCAAGGUUUAGGUAUACCAGACUAGCCAAGAUUCAGAGAAUGUUUGAUGAAAGUUCGACGAAGUUGAAGCAACCAGAGGAAACCUUGAAGGCUUGUAACACUGGAACCCUAGCAGCGAUGGUAGCAGCACAGCACGCCAAGAGGCUCUGAUACCAUGAAGAAGAUGAGAGACCGGAGGAGCGUGUGCGUGAGCAGUUAGGGUUUGGAGUCGAGGGAUCGCCAGAAGCAAGCACGAGACGUUUGGAACCCUAGGGUUUUGAAUUUAGUUUUUGAAAAGUUAAUGAAAAAGUUAUUACAAACAACUAUAUAUACCAUGACCUAAACUUAAUGGGCCAACAUUGGUUGGGCCUGGUAAUAUCUAAAUAGUACUAAUCUAAACCAUUUAAUCUAAUUACUUAGUCUUAAUAUUAACCUCCUCCACUUCAAGCUUUUCUCCAUUAAUUGUUGGAUUAUUAACCUCCAUCACUGAAAACUUUCCGACAUUAACUUUAUCACCUGAAACAAUUCCAUCAUCCACUACAACAUUUUGAUCAGGUUUGUAAUUAAACUUCUUUUAAAACAUCAUUCUCCACUACAAUAUUUACAUCAUCCACAUCAUGAACCUCUUCAACAACAACAUUCUGAACCUCACCAAUCAAAUCCAUCUGAAACAGUGUGUUAGCAAUCGUAGAAGCUAGCCGCAAUUGAAGAAUUGUUUGCAAAAUGUUGAGCGAUAGCCAUACUAACAGAGUGCAGAAAAUCUAUUGAAUUGAUUGUAUUAACUUUCAUACAUGGUUUAUUUAUAGCUAAUUACUAUCUAACUAUUAUUUGUUAUAUUAGUUAUUUAUUAUAACUAACUGCGUGUUUCUGCUUCCUUAACACCUCCCUUCAAACUUAAUUAUUGGGAGUGAGUCCAUAAGCUUGGAAAACAGAUAAAAAAAACGUCUUGCGGCUUGGUCAAUAUUUCGCCCAGUUGCUCCGUUGAAGAGAUGAACUUUGUCUCCAAUGUUUUUCUUGCUACCUGUUCUCUAACGAAGUGAUAUAUAUUGUAUCGCCACGUGUUUCGUCUUCGCGUGGAAGAUGGUUACUGUUAAGUAGUUCGCUCCCAUAUUGUCGCAAAAUAGAGUCGCCAGGAGUUCUAUCUUUCUCCCAAUUCUUAUAAUACAGAUUCUAUCCAAUUUAUCUCCGAUGUCGCGUCUGCUAGGCUUCUAUACUCAGCCCUAGAUUAACGGAAGGAUUCCAAUAUCGAUCGAUCGAUCUCAUUAUCUAUUUAUUUAUUUUAAUCUCAUUUGAAUAGAAAAUAUUAGAUUAAUUUGUUGACCUAAUUAGCUAAUAUUGAAGUCACACAGGCCUGUAGAAAUCUGACCCAAACAACAGAUAUAGAUUCAGUAAUAGAGGAAGAUAGAAGAAGAGAAAAAAGAAUAACGAAAAGGUUUAAUGGAAUUCAAUAAAAUCUUAGAGGAUCAGAUGAAAGAGUAAUUCAAUUCUUGCUAAUUGGUAAGGUUGUGUUCGGCUAUUGCAUUUUUGACCAUUUAGGGUCGGAGGACAUUUGCAUUUGAAAAGGUUUAAGUUGAUGAAAUCGAAAAGUUUUCUAGCAAACACCUGAAACAAUUUCAUCAUUUUCCACUACAAUAUUUACAUCAUACACAUCAUGAACCUCUUCAACAACAACAUUCAAAACCUCACCAAUCAAUAACUCCAUCUGAAAAAGUGUAUGUUAGCAAUCGUAGAAGCUGCAAUUGAAGAAUUGUUUGCAAAAUGUUGACCUUUUUCUUUGAAUAAAAAUCGUGAUAAAUAUAUACCCAAAAAAUUGGUACACCACGUGACAGUGAACCCCGCUGAACCUGACCUCAUAUAGAGACACGCUCGAAGGCUACAAUUAACACAAAUCGUAAUAAAAACAAAGACAACUCACACACUCCCUAAAAAACUCAUCUGUCUAAUCUCAGGUUUUCACACACCCAUCCCUUUCAUCUCGGUUUCAGAAACUCUUCAAAAAGGUUAAGAUAUGCUUCCUCCCGCCAUGUGCUUGUGUCCACCCGAGGGCUCGACACUCUUACGCGACCAUAGUUCAUUGAAAACAUCCUCCUUCUCCUCCUCCCCGAAAGAAUGCAAAAUAUUGACCGAUAGCCAUACAAAUAUGCUUCUCAACAUCGGGACCAACGUUUAAGCUAGCUUUGAGAGCAACUUCCAUAACAAUAAACAACCUUCUUUGAAUCAUCAACAUGCAACGAGGAACUUUUGGGGCAUUGUAAACUGUUAGCUCCGAUGAGAUUUUAGAGUACAAGAUGCACCGGAGAUGUCCACCUCCUCCUUCUGCUAAAUUAUUAUUAUUUUCCUUAGAAAAAUGAAGUUUUUGAGGUAAAAUUAAUUUUGGGUUUUGACAUGAAAAAGCUUUCAUAGAUGUAGAGAUUGAAGAUCACCGAAGAAAAAUUCGAAACAUAUGUAUAAUAUUGUUGACCAUGUCGAUCAUGAAAAUACCAUACUCUUACUGACCAUCUGAUUGCAUCCUCCGAUCCGGUAACGGUUUAUGGAUUACCUCGACGAGGAACAACGGCGAGCCAUCAGGUUGAAAAGCUAGCUAGCUCUUCUAUUUUGUUGAAAUACGGUGAGCAUUUCAUAAACCAGAUGUUUAUUUCUUUCAUAAUAAAGUCAAAUCCACCUAACUAUAACUAGGGUUUUUUCUCGUUUCAAUUGAAAAAUGAAAUAAAGUCCAAAAUUCCAAUUUUUAGGGUUUUGUUUGUUCUUGAUAAAACGUCAUUUCAUUCAUUCAUGUGAGAUAUCCAUUCCUUUUAUUCCGAUUACAUUAAAAUGAGACAUUUAAACUAUUAAUUUAAUUGCCACCACUUCCGUGUCCUGAACCUGAACCUGAACCAUAACCAGAACCUCCUCCGCGACCUCCGCCGCCGCCACCGCCGCCUCCUCCACCUCCACCUCCACCUCCUCUAAUGCCAUUUCCUCCGCCAUACCCACUACCUUGUCCAGAACCAUACCCUCCGCCCACUCCAUUACCAUACCCUCCGCCCACUCCAUUACCCAUUCCACCGCCUCCACCUCCUCCCAUUCCACCGCCUCCACCUCCUCCCUUUCCACCACCUCCACCAUAUCCACCACCUUUUCCAGAACCAAACCCUCCACCUCUUCCAGAACCAAACCCUCCACCUCCUCCUUUGCCCCCACCUCCGCCUCCUCCCAUUCCACCGCCUCCGCCUCCUCCCAUUCCGACACCUACGCCUCCUGCAUGACCAGACCAAUACCCUAUCAUGUUAUGUCCAUGUCUACCACCGUGUCUGUAGUGUGUGUGUCUGUGACCCUUACCAUGUCCAUAUCCAUGUCCACUUCCGUGACCGUGACCGUGUCCACUUCCUGCACCAUGACCAGAACCUCCUCCGCUUCCACCACCUCCGCCUCCACCAGAACCACCACCAACUCCUCCACCAUGUCCAUGUCCAUGUCCAUGUCCACUUCCGGAUCCAUGACCGGACCCUCCACCCUUUCCACUACCUCCACCACCGCCGCCGCCGCCACCACCACCACCUCCUCCUUUUACACCACCCCCAUGACCGUAUCCACUUCCUGAACCAUGACCAUAGCCUCCACCCUUUCCACUACCUCCGCCGCCACCACCACCACCGCCGCCGCCGCCACCUCCUCCUCCACUACCAUGACCAGAUCCACUUCCAGAACCAUAUCCAGAUCCUUUUCCACUACCUUUGCCACCACCUCCUCCGCCACCACCUCCUCCUCCACCACCACCACUACUUAAGAGUGUUCUAGCAGCCGUAGUCAUGCUCAAGCAGAGCAUGACAAGAAUCAAUGUCGCUACAAACUUAGAGGCGCCCAUCUUCAUUUGAUGAGAUUACAGGAAACGAUGCAAGGGUAUUUAUAUGUACUUUCAUACAUAUGAAAAUAAGAUCAUGCAUAGAUCAAGACACAUGAAGAACUUCGUUUGUGCUUUAUUUUAAUCAAGAAAAGUCUUUGUUAAUGGUAGUGUUGUGAUGUUACUAAUUAUAUAAUUAAUACAUGUUCGAGAAUCAUACAUGCAUACAUGUGCUUAAUUUCUAAAUUUUGACCCAAUUAAAUGCCCUAAUAUUUAACCAAUUAACAUACCAUAUAAAAUUAAAAUCCCAUUAAUGAAACGUGAUCUACUCUCUCCAUGAAUUCCAUCUCUCUUUAGAUGUAGCCAAAUCAUACACGUACAUACUCAAUUCAUAAUGGUUGACUAUGAAAAUACAUUUACACCACCGACCGAUUAGAUAUAAAUAAUGCAUUUCUACAUUGUGAUUAAAAGAAAAAAUAGUUUUUUGAAACUACGUAUUCAUAAUAAAUAUUUCAUGAGAUAUUAAUUUAGACCGUUUAUUUAUAAUAAAUUAAGGUAUGACCUCGAGAUAUCGUUUAUUUCACUAAAAGAAAACAAGGUUAUAUAUACCUACGGGCUUAGCCACUGAUUUCAAUAGCCGUGACUAAUUGUUCAAUAAUAGCCAUGGAUUUUUUAUACAUGACUAAGACCGUGAUUAUUUUGAAAAAUUAGUCACGACCAUUUUUUUUUACUGUUUUAAAAAAUUAGUCACGGACAUUAAAUAAAAUAGUCACAGUUAUUAAAUUAAAUAGUCACUGAUUUUUCCCACGGUCUUUAGCGACGGCCUACGCCCACGGUCUUUAGCCACGGCCUACGCCCACGGUCUUUAACCACCAGACCUACGCCCACGGUCUUUAGCCACGAAUUUGAUCAAAAGGCCAUUGAUUUUGGUCGUGGGUGAAAGCCUGUUUUCUUGUAGUGUUUUAUUUAAAAUAAAUGAACGACCUAUAUUAAUAUCUUAUUAUUUGAAGGUUUUCCUUUUAUAUUACUAUAUAUUUCUUAUGGUGUAAUUAAGUUCAAAUACUAAAAAAAAUAACCUAGUUGGAUUUUUAUGGAUGCGUUCAAACUCGAAAUGAUCUAAAAAACCUUAAUUUCUACAUGAUAUAAAAAAUGUCUAGCUCUGAUCAGUAGGAGUGAGAACGGGACGGUGUCCUAUCUUCGCCCUGAUACAGAGGAUCGAACCUGCUCGUUCGCAUUCUUGAUAUUCCAGAAAAAAAUUCUACCAGUGAUGCACUUGGGUGUCCCUCUAUUAGGGAGGUAAAUGUUAUUUGCAGAUUAUUAGAAAGUAACUAAGCUAACAGAAUAACUGUUAGUUGUUAUAGAUAAAUAGUAUAAAUACAGGAGAUGUAAAAUCAUAUUCAAUCAAGUAAUACAAUCAUAUUUUCCAGUAGCAACAGUUCACAUUUGCGAUUCCAAUCUUCCGUUUCUAUCAUGGUGUCAGAGCUUGAAGAAGGUGGGUUUUUAUCGUCCCACAUUGGUCCGACUUCCGCUGCAGGAAACGGGACGAACAGAGAUGCAAGGAAACUGGUUACUAAACAAAUCAAAUACGUCAUCAUAGAAGAAGAAAAUUUAUUUUGUUGGAAGGCGCAAUUUUCGGCCCUGUUGAAAGGUUACAAUCUUCUAGACUACGUCGAAAGGGGAAGAUGAACAUCACUCCAGAGACCAUUGUCGAACAACAAGACCAACUAAUUUUAAGCUGGAUCUUGACAUCGGUGUCAUCGUCGAUCCUCCCACAAGUUGCUGCCUUGACAACGUCCGUCGAAAUCUGGAGAUGCCUCAAUGAUAUGUUCUCCUCUGAUUCGGAAACACGCCUUUUGCAUCUACGUUUCCAACUGCAGAACAUCAAGAAAGGAGAUCUGAGCGUUCUUGACUACUUGAAGAAGAUCUUUGUCGUAAAGGACAAACUGGCCGCUGCAGGGGAAGGGUUGAAAGACUCCCAAAUAAUUUUGAUCACUUUGGGAGGGCUUAAACCUAGUUAUCAGCCUUUUGUGACUUCAAUCACAACAAGGUUUGAUAAUACAAUGACGUUUGCACAAUUCAAAAGGCUUUUAAUGGACCAUAAUCUGCAAUUUAUAUCUUCAACAUCAAUUCCAUCAACUGAAACAAACAUUGCGAUAAAACAAAAGAAUGAUGAUCGCCGGGACCGAAUUUCGUGCCAGAUCUGCACAAGGAAGGGUCACAGUGUGAAAGACUGUUAUCAUCGAAUAAAUUUCGCAAGAUUCCCGGCAGCAACACAUUCUUGUCGCCUUAUACCAACAAUAAGGCUAAAUAACCAAACAAAUGUCUCCAAUCAAACAGUUCCAACCGCAAAUAUAGCUGUAACAGGUCAUGAAUUCAUGAUUUGGUAUCCCGAUACGGGGGCAACUGCUCACAUAACUCACUCAGGUAAUAAUACACCAAAUUCUUUCAUCGAUUAUACGGGUAAAGAUUCAGUUUUUACAGCUAAUGGAGGCACGAUGAAAAUCAAGAAAGUUGGUAAAAUCAUAUAGCUUUGGAUUUAAUAUUAAAAGAAAUUCUAUUACUACCUGAAUCGUCAAAAAAUUUAUUGUCUAUUUCUCGUUUAUACACUGACAAUAAAGUUUAUGUCAAAUUCGACGAACAGAGAGUGGUAAUAGCAGAUCAGGAAACCAAUGAGGUCUUAGCCGAAGGAGAUAUGGUGAACGGGAUAUAUAAGAUGUCUCUAAACACAAAUAAAGAGUAUCAUGCUUUAUCGGUUCAGAAAAUUACCGGAGGACGAUGGCAUACAAGAUUGGGGUACUUAAACGAGAAGUUAAUUCGACAUUUAGUUAACAAUAAUGUGUUGCCUAAUGAUACUAUGUGUAAGAAUAUAACAAACUGUCAUUCUUGUGCUAUACAAAAAUCACACAAUUUGCCACAUAAACAAAGCAUUCAUAAGUAUUCACCAUUACAAUUGAUAUUUUCCGACAUAUGGGGGCCGGCUUCAAUUGAUUUAGUCGGUGGUUAUAGGUUUUACAUAAACUUUGUCGAAGCAGUAAAAGUUUCAAUUGGGUAUAUCCGUUAUUCAAGAUGAUGAAGCACAGAAUCUGCUACCAGGGCUCGCGGUGGUGCGAGGUGAUGUCGGAGGCUCUGGAGUCCACGAUGCGCACUCUACGUCAAAUGCCUGCAAGUGGAGAAUAGGCGAUUCUUGUGGGAAUUGGCGAUUCUCUUAGUCGUGCUCUAGUGAGAGUGAAACUUGUGUUGUGUCUUUGAGUGUCCCCUUGGGACCCUUUUUAUAGGGACUCGGAGGGCACGAUCAAAGGUGGACAUCGCGCUUAUUGCCAUAUAUGGGUGCAUUUAUGGCGUAGGCUGGCGGCGAGUAACGGUCGUAAAUCGACGAUUCAGUUAUGAAAAUCGCCUAUUUAGGGCAAACUCGUCGAGUUUCAAGGGGCGAGAUAUGCAGUCUACCAUACUGCCGAUCUGGGCCCUAACUCGGCGAUUUGACCCUAAAAUCGACGAUUUGGUAGUCCAAUCGCGAUUUACGGGUUAAUUCGGCGAUUUGACGAUGAACUUGUUCCGCACCGUGGGAGCCUUCUGGGGGUCCGGCGUAAAACGACGGAACCCUAGUCCUUGUUAAAGGGCGUUGCUGGGAGUGACUGCCGUAAUCAGGCAUGUUUCACCACAAGAAAUCCGAAGUAACCAAUGUGUUUUUAAAGUUCAAAGAAUGGAUAGAGAAACAAACCAAUCACAUAAUUAAAUCAAUCCAAACGGACAACGCCAAAGAAUAUAAAGCCUUAACCAAAGCCCUUGAUCAAUUUGGAAUUGAUCACAGAUUCUCAUGUCCAUAUGAUCAUCCACAGAUAGGGACGGUCGAAAGACGACAUCGACACCUGGUUGACACAGCUCUAACAAUGUUACACUUUGCGAAUAUGCCUAAAAAGUUUUGGGAUUAUGCAAUUCUAACUGCGGCAACUCUCUAUAACAAAAAUCCAACAAGAAUUCUUAAUGGAAUAUCACCAAUGGAGACAUUAUUCGGUAAGUCACCAGAUUAUGAUAAAUUACGAACUUUUGGUUGCAGAUGCUAUCCGUGCCUACGUCAUCACCGGAGAAAUAAGCUAGAUGAUAAAUCGAUAGCUUGUAUAUUCAUUGGAUACUCACAACAAUACGAUGGCUUUCUAUGUUUUAGCCCAAAAGAAAAUAAAAUUUAUAUUUCAAAGAUUGUAAAAUUUAUAAAAGACGAUUUCACAUUAAACAAAGAUUUAUGAUCAAACUCCGACGAGCAAUCGAAAGACCAUAAAUCAACAUGAACAAUUUUCUCCAAUGAGUUGGUAAUCAUCAAUCAGAAAGCACUCCAGGAUCCGACACCCAAACUUUAUCAAGUAAAGAUCCAGAAUCAAACACGGAAUCCGGUUGGGAAGUUUCGAUCUUUCAAUCCGAAAAUUCAGGCACGACUUCGACGACAGCAUAGCCGAAGAAACGUUCAAGGAUGACCAGAGCAAGAACACAACACGAAGAAUAGAAACAAGAGUGUCACACGGGAUAUCCAAACCCAAUCCGAAGUACGGGUUAAUAACAACAACUGAACAAAUCAAUCUACCCAGAUCGGCGAAACUAGCGUUACAACAUCCGGGUUGAAAAGCAGCGAUGAGGGACGAAUAUGAAACACUCGUCAAGAACAGAACUUGGCGUCUCAUCCCCAAAACAGAACACGACAGGGUAUUUAAUACAAAGUGGGUUUUUAAAAUAAAACAUGUAGAAGAUGAAACGAUCCAGAGGUUCAAGGCAAGAUGGGUCGCGAAUGAGAUGAGACAGAUCGAAAGGUGUGACUAUAAUCAAACAUUUAGUCCAGUCGUAAAAACAAAUUCGGUCAGAAUUAUUUUAACAAUCGCAAUUACAAGAGAUUGGAAUUUAAAACAAAUCGACGUCUCGAACGCGUUCUUACACGACAACUUAGAUGAAAGAAUUUUGGUAACACAACCAGUUGGGUUUGAAGAUAAAGAGCGACCGGAUCACGUGUGUUUAUUGCAAAAAUCGUUGUACGGUUUAAAACAAUCUCCAAGAAUGUGGUAUCGAAGAUUACGAGAAGUGCUUGUUCAAUUAAAGUUCAGAGAGAGUUAUUCCGAUCCGUCUCUAUUCAUCUACGAUAAUGAAGGUGACCAAAUGUACUUAUUCACCUGCGUAGACGACAUAGUAGUUACGAGAUCAUCUUCAAGAUUGAUAGAAACAACUAUUGCAAAGUUGGGCUCAAAAUUUGCGAUCAAAGAACUAGGGGAUCUACGAUACUUCUUGGCGAUACAUGUUCAUAGAAAGAAAGAAUAAUGUUGUCACAACAACAAUACCUUCGGAAUCUCUUAUUGAGUUGCGGAUACACAAAAUUAAAACUGUCGACUACACCAAUGUUGUCUAACGAGAAGUUUGAAAUAAACGACAACCCACCACAGGAGUUGAGCGAAUAUUGACGAAUAAUUGGGUCUUUACAAUAUCUCACUCUAACCUGAUCGAAUGUUCAAUAUACCGUAAAUAAAUUGUCACAAUUCUUAAAUUCACCAAAUUAUGGACAUUGGACAACUCUUAAGAAAUUACUUCGGUCCUUAGCAGGAACACAAAAUCUUGGAAUUACAUUAACCAAGGUAAAAGAUUUCAAGAUAACAUGCUACUGCGAUGCAGAUUGGGGAGGCGACCCAAUCGAUAGGAAAAGUCACACAAGUUAUUUAAUAUACAUCGGGGAAACAUUAGUCUCGUGGUCAUCGAAAAAGCAAUCGGCAUUAGCAAGAUCAAGCACAGAGGCCGAAUAUAGGGUCAUAGCCACAACGGUCGAAAAAGCAGAAGGUGUACGAUCGUUGUUGACAGAAUUAUGGUACAAAUUUAAUUACCAAUGAAAGUACAAACCGACAAUCAAGAAGCUAUUUUCAUCGCAAACAAUCCUAUCUGUCAUAGCAAAAUGAAGCACAUCGCAAUGGAUUUUCACUUCAUCCGAGAAAAAUCUGAACAAGGGAAACUACAAGUAAGUCACAUUUCCGGGAAAGAACAACUCGCCGAUAUACUAACAAAACCACUACCACCAAAGCUAUUUAGGGAGGCAAGUAACAAACUAGUCGGACUCUGCCCUAUAAUUUGAGGGGGAGUAUUAGAGAGUAACUAAGCUAACAGAAUAACUGUUAGUUGUUAUCGAUAAAUAGUAUAAAUACAUGAGAUGUAAAAUUAUAUUCAAUCAAGUAAUACAAUCAUAUUUUUCGGUAAUAACAAUUCACAUUUGCGAUUCCAAUCUUCCGUUUCCAUCACAGAUUGUUGGCGCUUAAUUGAUAAAUUGAAACUAUUUUUAGCAAGAUGGUCCACAAAAUCGCCGUCUAAUGGUGGGUGUCAAUAACUCUCCAAUUGGGUAAUCUAUGAGUAACUUUUAUUUUGGUUCCAAAUAAGGUGUCAAACGAAUCGAGUUGAGCUUUUGCUUAUAAAGUCGGACUCGAACUCGGCUCGUCAAGAAAUUGUCCAAACUCGGGUUCGACUCGUUAAAGAAUUAUCCAGAUUCAAAUUCAAAGCUCAAGAGUUCGGGUUCCGUUCGUUAAGAAAUUAUUCAAGUUUGAACUCAAAGCUCACGAGUUCGAGCUCGGCUCGAUAAACUUAAAAUUUAUGAUUUAUGAUGCCAAAAUUUAUGCUAUCAUGCCAAAAUUCUCGUCGGACAAAUUUGGUGUGUUAAAUGUUGUGUGUUAAAUUCUUAAAUUUCAAAAGAUCUUUUGGGCUCGGCUUCCGAGCUUAUAAAACCAAGGUCAAGUCUAGGAACUAGGCUUGUUAUCUUAAACGAGCCAAACCCAAACCUGAUUCUAUAAGUUAAAGCUCUUUAACCACUAUUGGUUAAAAGUAAACUUGAGUUAACUUCCACCAUAAGCCGUACACCUGUUGGGUCGGGUUAAAUUCAUACUAUAGAUAUGGAUAACGGAUGAUAUUGAUCACACUAAAUCGUAACACUAGUUAGUGCUCACGUUUACUACCGGCGAGGAUGGCGGCAACCGCAAAACCGUCUGGGACUGCCGGAUUGGGAGCGAGGUGGUCUCUGCAGGGAUACACCGCUCUUGUCACCGGAGGUACAAGAGGCAUUGGGUAAUAAUCAUUAUCGAUUAUUGAUCAUCUCCACUUCCCGAACUCGAUCUGAUCAUUCAUGCACACAUUUUGAUUUAAUCAGGAGAUUUGUAUUUUCAACAUAUCAGGAACGCGGUGAUCGUAGAUCUGGCUUCGAUGGGGGCGGUGGUACAUACGUGCUCUCGUAAUGAAAUUGAGCUUGGUAAGUGUCUCAAAGAAUGGGGGGAAUCCGGGUUCCAAGUCACGGGAUCUGUUGCAGAUGUUUCUGUGAGGAAAGAUCGGGAGAAACUGAUGGGGGAAGUUUCUGCCAUGUUCGAUGGGAAGCUCAACAUUCUCGUGAGUUUCUUCUAAAUUUCUUCUUCCUCUUUUCUUAACGCUAAGAUCAAUUCAUUUGUUCGGUUCUGCUUUUUUUAAAAAAAAAUUAAAAUCAACAUAUUAAAUCUUACAAAAUUCUCUAACAGUCCAUCAGCACUAGUCAAUCAAUCAUCUCUAAAGAUCAAUAUAAUUGAAUCAAUCUACUUUUUUUGUUUUUCUUUUCUUGUCCAGUUUAAGAUUAUGAGUCAGACAUAAGGCUAUAAUCAAGUUGUUUCCAUGUGGUUUUGUGGUUUUUAGUAUCUUAUAAAAAUUUAGGACAUGUUUCUUGAGUAAUGACUGUAGUACAUAAAAAGGAUCAAGAAGAAGUUAUUCUUCUCCACCAAUCGUCGCAACAAAACCUUACACUGACCUUAAACAAAAGAAAUAGAUGUUAAGAUGGUUUUUCUGUAGUACUAUUCUGAGAGCUGAGGUAUUCUUACAAAACUUUCACAAUAAUUCCACAAAUGCAAAUUGGAUUGUCCAAUUAAACAAAAUACAAUGCAAGUGUGAAUAUGACAUUAGGAAAGAACAACCAUACAGCCUUCACUUCAAUCUUCGUCUCAACCCAAAAUGAGAGAUUUGAUAGGAAUUGGUAGAAAAUAUUAAGAUAUUACAGUUUCAGAGAGUGGAGUUGACAAAUAAAACACUUAAGUAAAACACAGAUUAUAAUUACUUGAGGUAAGUAAAUAUAAUUUACCAUCUUCUUAAGCUAGCUACAAACAGAAUCCUCUAGAGCUGGCGCCUGGCGGUCAUUAUAUUCCCUUAUGGUCAGAGUUUCAAGAGCAUUGUAUCAGUACGUGGUCGUUUUUGAUUGCUCACUUCGGAAAUUUAAAUGUGUAUAAUGCAACCUUUUCAGCUGCAUUUUUUAACAUUAUCAACAACUCUUCUUGUCACGCUAUUAUUAAUGUUUAUUUGGAUUUGAGUGUUAGAUAUCUGAAUCUAGCUGAGUAUUCUUCCUCGCUGAUCUUUUUUGCAUAAUUAGGUGUUUUUUGCUUACAAUUUUGUCAGUUGUAUUUUAAAACACUAUUGUCUCCUAAAUUCUCCAUGAUGUUAUGGAGAGUCGAGGUCAAAAGUCUCAACACCCUUACUAGAAUACAAGUAAGGGGUAUCGACCCUCAAACAAUCUGCCCCCUUUGUGGGCAAGAGAAAGAGAUAUUACAAUUUACAAUAUCUCUCAACAAUGCUAUCUGGAUAUUAAAGGGCAAGGCCUCUCUUUGCCUAUAGAUGACAUAGGAAUAGGUGACAUAAUGAAAACAAUAGAAAAAAAAGUUCACACAAAGCCAGUUGUUGGGGUAUUCACUAGAGAAUUACUUAUGAUGUCAAUAGAGAAGUACUUAGGGAUGUGAGUAUUACCAAUGAUGCCACCCCUUACAAGAAGAGCAAUCUUUCACAGAUUGAAACUCAAGCUAUAUUCUUAUGGGAGUCCAACCUUUUGAGACACCAGUCCAUGACUAGCUAACCAAGGUCAUAGCCAUAUAAGAAAGUGACAAUGUUUUUACAUUUUUAUUGUAUUUUACAUUUCCCUACAUUUAUAAUCAUCGGACAUUGUCCCACUCUUAUUUUCAUUAAUGAAAUCUUUAAUUCAUCAAAAAACAAAACUCUCAUUUUUAUCUGAAUUCUAUAUAUAGACAUUAAUCUAAACUUUGAACUAUCAUUUAUAAAUUAUAUACAAUUUUCACCAGAUUAAUAAUGUUGGGACAAAUAUUCGAAAGUCCACUAUUGAUUUCUCGGCAGAGGAGUUAUCAUUUCUCAUGUCUACCAAUUUCGAUUCUGCAUUUCAUAUUAGCCAACUUGCCCAUCCGCUUCUUAAAGCAUCAGGGAAAGGAAACAUUGUAUUCAUCUCAUCUGUUGCUGGUGUUCAGGCUGUAAAUUCUGGUUCCAUAUAUGCAGCUUCUAAAGGUAAUCAAAUUUAUUAUUUAUUAAAUUUCAAAGCUUCUAUUUUAUUUUGUUGGCUUAUAGUCAGUUGUCACUUGUUAGGAGCUAUGAAUCAGCUUACAAAAUAUUUGGGUUGUGAAUGGGCUAAGGACAAUAUCCGGUCUAAUUCAGUGACACCUUGGUACACCAAAACAUCCUUGACAGACGAAGUACGUUUUAAAUAAAGCUCUCUUAAAAUACAAUUUUAACAUUAUGAAACAAAAAAUUCAUUACCGCUUACUGCAGCUUCUUAAAAAUGAAGAAUUAUUAGAACGGAUAAUUAGCCGAACUCCUAUGCGACGGAUUGCUGAACCAGAGGAGGUAUCUUCUCUUGUGACAUUUCUCUGUCUGCCGGCUGCAUCUUACAUCACUGGACAAGUCAUUUCUGUCGAUGGAGGUAUGACUGGGAAUGGGUUUUUCCCAACACAUGAUUAGUAAAUUGGCUUUAUAGACGAUGUUCCUUUAUUUAAUGUCACUUAAGAAUCUGUUAAUCUAGUUUGUCCUGUGCAUUUAUUAUGUUAUCGGGCAAAUCGUAAUGAAAAUAUAUUUAAUCUUGAACCUUUAAAAAUCUUAAUAGCUACUGUGAUCAGUUAGUUAAUUUUUCAGUGCUUUUAUACUUUGAUUAAUGAGGUUACUUUAAUAUGCUUUACUUUUAUAUAUAUUGUAUGCUAUUUUCUGCCCGUAUUUACUUUUAAAAAAUCGUUUUAAAUCCAAUCCAUUGAAUUAAAAAUCAACCUAAUUUGCAAAUAUAUCUUCAAUGUAAUCUUAUUUAAUUUUCUUAAUUACCAAAUAGACUAUCUGAAUCUCUGAUGAUAAUCUACUUGAUCUUGCAUAUCUUUUCAAAUCAAUGGAAUUUAUAAUAACAUGACAAUAUAUACAGAAAAUACCAGGAGAGGUUGAUGCACUGUACCAACAAAUACUCGAUCUACCAUUUUCUUCUGGGUGCGAGUUUGAUCGAUUUAUUAGCAAUGAAUCAUCUAAAACCUCUCCUGAUGAUCAUUCUCUUAUCUGUGCUUAUUAGUUUUUCCACAGUGGAAAUGAGUUUGAUUAAACGUGUAUGUGAGUACAAUAGCCAAAAGUUCGGAUCGAGACGUUGUAAGGUUGAUUCUAUUUGUGACGGCAUUUGUAAAGUUGAAAUGUUUGAUGGAGGGUAUUGCAAAGGUCUAGUAAUUCGUAAAUGCAAAUGUACCAAACAAUGCUUUCUCAUCUGAGUUAUUCUUAAUGAUUUUGAGAUGGUGAAUAAUAAAGUUCAGAUGGUGACAAUAGUAAACAUGAUUCGUUAUUUAAUUUUACACGACACAAGACUUCGUGGCCGCAUCAUAUCAAGUCUCAUUUGAUCAGAGAUUGAAUAAAAAUUAAAAUACAUCCGAUUCAAAUUCUGGACUGCCUGUCACAUUAAUGUGGCUAUAUCAACUUGGCUAAUCAGUUUUCAAACUUAUAAUUGUCCUCUUCCUGCAGGUACACAAUUAAUGAUUGAGAAGAAUGUUGGUUUGACAUUAAAAAAAUCUUGACUCUCAAGGGAAACACUUUAUCUAUUUAUUAUAGUAUUUCACUUGUUCAAUUUUAUUAACUACUUAAUAACAAACUUAGUUACCCUGUGUUAGGAUACUCCCUCCCCCUGAAACUAAGUGAGAGUGUCGACAUUGGUUUGUCACAGAUAGAGAUGUAUAACGAACCGGACAUGCAGGUCACUGCAAGAAACAAAUGUUUCGACAACGCCAAAUCCAUAUAUUGCCGACCAACUAUUGGUCGCGCUGCCCAGUUCUUGGGUUACCGUAUAACGCGUGAAGGAAUACGCCCCCACGACCCUAAGAAAGUGGAAGCCUUCCUUAACAUGGCUCCCCUCACCACGAUAAAGGAGGUCCAACGCUUGAAUGAGUGUAUAGCGACCUGGAGUACGUAGGAUCCUCUCCAAGAGUACCUGUAGCUCAUUCUUCAAGCUGCUCGAGACGGCAGGACACAAUCCAUAUAUUGCCGACCAACUAUUGGUUGCGCGGCCCAGUUGGUCAGUAAAACCCUGAUAGUUAUUUAAAGGCAAAGAAGUGUGUGUUUAGGAUCACGGAAGGGCAGUUCCUGGGUUACCGUAUAACGCGUGAAGGAAUACACCCCCACCCUAAGAAAGUGGAAGCCUUCCUUAACAUAGCUCCCCUCACCACGAUAAAGGAGGUCCAACGCUUGAAUGAGUGUAUAGCGACCUGGAGUAGGUUCCUCUCCAAGAGUAUUGACAGAUGUAGCCCAUUCUUCAAGCUACUCGAGACGGCAGGACAAUGAGUAAUGUGGUCCCAAGCGCUAAAGAGUCAUAUGGCGGAGCUGUCAAAGUUGCAUGACCCAGAAUCAGGGGAGGUCCUUACAUUAAUUAUACGUGCCGAGCUCGAAAAACACGGUUAGUGCAAUGCUAAUCUCAUAAGGUCCAGUCGCUUAUAUGAUUUGACGUCAAAAAAAAGAGUUAUUCUUUCUGUGUAGAGGGAGAUGAUUUUUUUUCAACAUUAUAUGACACCCAAACAGACAUAUUUUUCACCUAAAAUCUUGAGACGCAACUGUAUAUAAAGACCCUAUGGUUCACGAGAUUCCAUAAUAUAUUCACAAAAAAAAAGGGUUAUGGAAGAGAGAAAGAAAGAAAAAGUAUGGAACACUCCAAUCCAAUGUGAGUUCAAUUAUUUGCUUGCUUGUUUGGUGAUGUUGAUGAGAAUAAUUAAAAAAAUAUUUGGAAAGUGUAUAUUCAAAGAAAGAGUGUUGAACAAGUAGGGAAAGAGUGUACAUUGAUUUUGGUAAUAGUAAACAUGAACAACAUUAUUGUCUGCCACAUGCAAUUUAAACUCAAAUUAAAAGACAUUUAUACCUUCAUUUAAAAUUCCACAUCUGUCCAUAUCAUUAACUAUUGACUAAGAUAUGGACUUUUGAGAGGAAUAGCUCAACUAUUUAAGUUGUCACAUUUGCUCUUAUGGUUUCAGAGUUCAAGAUUCGAGUCUCGCUGUAUACUUUAAUUAUAUUUUUGUUAUGAUGUAACUGAUCAAAUAUUAUAUGUGAUCUUUGUAUAUUAUCUGAAGGUAGAGAUUUAUACUUCUGUCUCAAUUCUACAUCUGUAUCAAUCAUUAAUUCUACAUCUGAUCAUGUUUAUAUUUUAAUUAUAUUUUCAUUACGAAAUAUUAUGUGGUUUUAGUAUGUAUAUCAUCUAAACGUAAAUAUUUCUAUUUCUAUCUUAAUUUCACAUUUCUAGACACCUUACUAACUAUUAAUAAGAUGUGAUAUUUUGAAAGAAAUAGUUCAACUGAUCACAUUACUGUUAAUGUUUCAGGGUUUAGAAUUCAAGUUUCGUAUUUUUAUUUUAAUUCAAUUUUCAUUACGAUAUAACUGAUGAUAUAUUAUAUUGUUUUUGUAUAUCAUCUGAAGGUAGACAUUUAUACUUCUGUCAUAAUUCUACAUCUCUCGGCCAUAAUAUUAAUCAUUAACUAUAUAUAGAAUGUAAAAUUUUGAGGGGAUUAGCUCAAUUUACUAUUAAAAUUCGAAUCUUAAAUAUGUACUUUAAUUAAAUUUUCACUACGAUGUAACUAGCUUAUUAUUAUGUAAUUUUGAUAUAUCAUCUGAAGAUAAACAUUUAUACUUCUGUCACAAUUCUACAUCUGUCUCAAUUCUAAUCUGUCUACAUCACUAAUUAUUAACAUCACUACAAGAAAAUAGAUCUUUAGGGACAGAUUCUGACCGUCCCUAAAUCUGAAGAAAGAUUUCGUAAAAAUUUCGCAAUGCUAGCGACGGUUUGGGGACGGUAUUAGGGACGGAUAUGAAAGCCGUAUUCAAAAAGUAUAUUACCUUGUAGUGCAUGCAUGUAAAAUUUUGAUUGAAUUAGCUUAAUUUAUAAAAGUUAUUUGUGAGAAUGAAACUUAUCUAUCUAUUUUAAUUAAAUUUUUAUUACGAUAUAAACAGUGAUAUAUUACAUGAUUUUGAAUUUUUAUUACGAUCCAUCAUCCAUCCAUCCAUCCAUGACCAUGAUCCAUCAUCCAUGAGUAAAAAAAUAGUAAAAUACCCUGAAAAUUUCAUUAUUUGUAUUUUUUUAUCCCUCAGAAUUCUAUUUAUGACAAAGAAGUUAAGACACCAUGGCAAGCUUUGGGAUAUUCGCCAGUGAGAAAGCUGUGGAUGGACGGACAAAAUCAAAAAGAGAUAGUAAAUGAGUAAAUGAAGAGAACUGAAAUCGAUACUGAUCGUUGGUUCGUUUGCCAUUCCAGUUCCCUCCACAUUUCUUCACAUGCAUCAUGAUCUUGCAUGAUACAUACCCAGCAAAACACCAAAACGAUACAAACAAAAAUAAAAUAUACACCACCAGUACCACCACUGUUCGCUCACUCAUAGGCGGUGAUGUUGGUGUUGACACCAUUCCCUCUCUCUCCAUUCAUUCCAUUUCCUUUUUAAUCGACACACACACACACAUGUUCUGAGACAGACCAGGAGAUCGAAAUGGAGAUCACCGGCGUUAGGAUGGGGAUCAGACCAACUGGUUCUGCCAUCAUGAAGCUACCGGGAAAUAUUGGGUAUGAGACCAGUAGUGUCUGGGGACGUAAGAUCAACUUGGGUUGUGCUCUGGGGAGAAAAUGGGGAAGGAAAUGCAUCAGAUCAUCAACACAAGCUGUCAUCACCUCACCUGUUGAAGAGACUAUCGUGGGUUCUUUUUCUUUUCUUUUUGGUGAUUGUUUGAUUGAUUGAUGUUUUGUUAACUUGUUAGGGAUUGAACCAGACAUUUCAGAGCCCAUUGUUUGAGAGACUGCAAGCAAAUCCCAAGAAUGUGGCUGCUAUUAUUUUGGGUGGAGGUGAAGGAACUCGUCUUUUCCCUCUUACAAGUACCAGAGCUAAACCUGCUGUAAGCAAGCAUUUACUCAUCUUAUUAAAUUCCUGGUUUACUUCACUUGGUGUGUUUUUUUGUACAAAUAUGUUCUGAUACCAUGUUAAAGGUGAUUGAAUCGCAGUUUUUAUGAUGGAGUGUCUAUCUUACUAUUUUGGAGCUUUAUGUAGUGUGGUUUCUUUUAAUUGUUGGUUUGUUAUCUAUGUUUUUUUUGCAUUGAACGUCCUUUGAUACCAUGUUAAAGGUGAUUGAAUUGCUUUUUUUUAUGAUGGAGUAUCUUACUAUUUGGAUCUUUGUGUUGUGUGGUGUGGUUUCUUUUGAUUGUUGAUUUGUUAUCUAUGGUUUUUUUUGCAUUAAACAUGCUUUGAUGCCAUGUUAACGCUGAUUGAAUUGCAUUUUUUUUAUGAUGUAGUGUCUUACUAUUUGGAUCUUUGUGUGGUGUGGUGUGAUGUGUUUUUUAUUUAUUUUUAUAUAUGAGUUUUUUUCUACAUUAAACAUGUUUGAUACCAUGUUAAAGGUGACCGCAUCGCAGUAUUAUGGUGUGUUAUCUGAGUAACUUGGAUCUUUGCUUUGUUUGGGUAUUAUUUUUAGUUAGUUCGUAGUUAUAGUUUUUUGCAUUAUACAUGCUCUGAUACCAAGUGAAAGGUGAUUAGGUCGGAUUAAAAUCCAGUGAAUGUCACACGAUUUGUAAAUGAUAGAGGGGGGUCUUCUGUGCAGGUUCCAGUUGGUGGAUGUUACCGGCUUGUUGACAUACCGAUGAGCAACUGUAUCAACAGCGGGAUAAACAAGAUCUAUGUUCUCACCCAGUUUAAUUCAAUGUCCCUAAAUCGCCACGUCUCUCACACUUACAACUUUGGAAAUGGAGUUAAUUUUGGGGAUGGAUUUGUGGAGGUGUUAGCAGCGACACAGACACCUGGUGAGAAAGGGAAGAAUUGGUUCCAGGGAACAGCGGAUGCAGUCAGACAGUUUAUAUGGCUGUUUGAGGUAUGUGAAUUUCUUUAGGAGGAAGGGAAAUGAAAAACUCAAUUAUCUUUACAAAGAUGUAAAUAAAUAUAAUUUAUUGAUUGAUAUUUUUUAACUGUUAACUAACACAGGACAUGAAGAACAAGAACCUUGAUCAUGUUUUAAUCUUGUCUGGGGAUCAGCUCUAUAGAAUGGAUUACAUGGACUUCCUGCAGAAGCACAUCGAUACAGAUGCUGACAUAACAGUAUCAUGCGUGCCGAUGGAUGAAAGCCGUGCGUCGGAUUUUGGAUUGAUGAAGAUCGACAAUACAGGUCGCAUAAUCAAAUUCUCGGAGAAACCCAAGGGUGCAAACUUGGAAGACAUGGUGAGGUUUAUCUGCUCUGUGACAUAAUCAAAUAGGAUUUUGAAAGGAAUGUUUAGUUUGGUAUUUUGUAAAUGAUGGAUGGAUGGUUGAUUGGCAGAGAGUGGACACAACUGUACUUGGAUUAUCCCAAAAAGAAUCUUUGGAAUCGCCAUACAUCGCUUCGAUGGGAGUAUAUCUGUUUAAAACAGAUGUUCUUCUGGAGCUUCUGAGGUGAUCACAUACUUUACUUUUGAUCUCAGCUGUCUAUCACCCAGCUAGACAUUCAAUUUCCGGAAUCGAUUUUUAUUUUAAUGGUGAAUUUAAUUUUUUGCAGAUCGAGAUAUCCAACGUCUAACGACUUUGGAUCAGAGAUCAUACCAGCAGCUGUGAAUGACCAGAAUGUUCAGGUUAUUUCCCAUCUCAAAGAUCUUCCUUGCUAAAUCCUAACUAACUAUGAUAUUUACUUACGUAGGCGUAUUUGUUUAAUGACUACUGGGAAGAUAUAGGAACGAUUAAAUCGUUUUUCGAUGCAAAUUUGGCACUAACAGAUCAGGUAACCAACAAAAUUAAACCUGUAGAUCGAUAUUUUUAAAUUUGAAUGUCGUUUUCUGAAUGAAUAAAAAAUGUACAGCUUCCAAAAUUUGAGUUUUACGAUCCGAUGACGCCUUUCUACACUUCGCCACGGUAUCUGCCACCAACCAAAGCAGACAAGUGCAGGGUAAAAACUCACUUUGCACAUCAUUUUGUUAGUUCAUGUCUAAAAUUAUUCAAAACUUACAGAUCAAGGAUUCGAUCAUCUCGCAUGGGUGUUUCCUAAGGGAAUGCAGCAUAAUUCACUCGGUCAUAGGAGAUCGAUCCCGAUUAGACUAUGGUGUGGAUAUGAAGGUUGGUUGGUUGGUUGGGUUUUUUUCUUCUUCAAAAUAAGAAAGGAAUUACUGCUAAACAUUGUAUGCUUAGGAUUCUAUGAUGAUGGGAGCGGACCAUUACCAAACAGAAGCCGAAAUAGCCUCAAUGUUGGCUGAAGGUAAGGUUCCUAUUGGUAUUGGACAGAACACCAAACUCAGAAACUGCAUCAUUGACAAAAACACAAGGAUUGGGAAAAAUGUUAUGAUCACAAAUCAAGAAGUAAGUGAAGUGAAUAACACCCAAAAAAAAAUUUCACAAUGAAAUGAUGAUGUUGGUUGUGGUUGCAACUUUUACAGGAUGUUCAAGAAGCAGAUAGGCCAUCUGAAGGAUUCUAUAUUCGUAUGGGAAUUACUGUGAUUCAGAAGAAUGCAACAAUUAAAGAUGGGACUGUUAUAUGAAAGCAUAUAAAUGAAUGUAUGUGUGUGUGUGUGUAUAACAAAAGAUGGAUCUGUUAUCUGAUGAAGAGAUGAAAGGAGGAGGAGAAGCAAUGUCUGAACUCUAAAUAGAUGUAAAAAGUUUUUUUUUUUAAGUCAAUCAGGUAGCCAUGUAGGUAGGGUAGGUCUCUUUGGAAGAAGGAAAAAAAUGUUGUGUUGUUUCUAUUUCAAACAGUUAUCCAUAAUAAAAGUCUUCACUCUACCUUUCUCAAUUUUUUCCCUUUUCUAUCCAACAUUCCAGUAUCUAAGUAUCUGCUGCAUGUCAAUGUAAUCAUUUGGACCAUAAUGGUUCCCAAUCUUAAAUUUUUGUAAUCUUGAUACAAUUAAUGUGAUACCAUUAAUCAUGCUUUUUGACGCGGCCAGGCGAACAGGCGAUACCUGGGACCGCAUACCGCAUAUGCGACCACCUGGUCGCAUAUGCGGUCCAAUAUGCGACAUGUUAUUUUUUUUAUUUUUUUUAUUUAUUUUUCAAUAUACCCCCUGUAUUUUCUAUAUUUUAAAUAAAUCCCUGAUAUUUAAGUCAUAAUAAAAAUCAUAAAUGAAAUAAUAUAGUGACUAAUGAUACUUAAACUCUUAAAAUCACAAAAACUUAAAGAAACAUACAAAACAACAAAACUAUUAGUUUCAAACAUCAAAGUACAAGUGUAAUGCAAACACUUAGUUCUUAGUUCUAAGUUCUAACUACACUAGUGUGUCGUCAAGUUCAUCUUCGACGUCAUUCAAGUGCGGAUCCAUCAAGAACUCAUCAUCAUCUUCAUGCUCGUCAUUUCUUCUUGCUUUUGUUGAUGGUCCUUCAUGCUCGGGCACACCACUAGCUUCCCAUACAUUAGCCUAUGUCAAACCACCAUCUUCGUAGACAAAUUCACCAGAUGCUCCAUCGACACCCGUUACCCAUUCACUAGAGUAAUUGAUAUCACUUAUAGCAAUGGGAUCAUAGGUCUUAUCGUCUAUUAGAUUUAUUUUCAGAAAUCGAUCUUUCAAACGUUCGUUGUAGUUAAUAUAAACCAAUCGAUCAUAGGUCCUUAAGUUUUAAUAGAAUAAUACAAUUCAUUUAAAGUUUUUAAAUUUCAAUAGGGUUAAUGGAUCGGGUUUAUCCGGAUCCGACCCGGAUCCGGCUAAACUCAAUAAUAUGCGACCCCCCAAAUAUGCGAUGGGGGGUUACCGCCUGGUCGCAUAUGCGCGCAUAUGCGACAAAUCAAAAAGCUUGCCAUUAAUAUUAUACUUAAUCAUAAACCAUUUGAAUUUGGCCUGGCACACUGCACUAUAUGUCAUUUGUAGACAGCAAUAUAAAAAAAAGUAAAAUAAAAACUGGUAUUCAAAUAUAUAAAAAUCAAUGGGGAAAUGGUAGAGUUUGUAUUGUUGGUUGAGGCCAAAUAAAACACAAACUUACCGACAUGUUCUUUCCCAAUGGUGAUGAAUUGCCAAAUUGGUGAUAUGCACUGCCUGCACUUUUCCUGAUCUAAUAACAAAUAAAUAAUACAAUAAUACCCAACUAGACUCCAAAGUCCAGACCCAACUGAAUUUUUUACAUCUACAUCUUACUCAACAUUUACAUCUUAUUUUUUGUUAGACUUAUAACGAAAGACAAGUAACACUCACUAAAGUAGUUAAAACUACUUAUCUCUCCUCUGAAUUGAAUUUAUACCAAGCAUUCUGCAAAAUAAAAAUGAGUUAACAUCAUCAACGCAUUGCUUAUUUUGAAAACUAAAAAGAAACAUGGGGUUGUUAUGAAGAAAGAAUGUACCGUGAGCAGCUCAAACACCUUCUCAGCUACAUAUUUAUCUCGGACACUUGCAUUUCUUUGCUGCAGCUUAUCGGGAUGAACACAUAGAGUCGAUUUUUUGUAAGCUGUUUUUACUGCACUGGCUGUAAUAAUUUCAGUUAAUGAGAUCGGCUUCCAUUUGCUCUCAGGACCAAGGAUCUGCCCACAAGUUACAGCAUGUUAAAUAAUUGACGUUUCGAAAGUAAUAUAGACCUUGACUGAUUAUGGAAUUGUGGGUCAUACAUCCUGAUCUAAAUGUGUGAAUUGAGAAUUUACAAAAUUAAGUUGACGAAUAUUAAUGAUGGUAAAAAACGAGUUCCAUGUAAAAUUAAAGAUAUACCCAAAUUCUAUAAUCUACAGCAAAUCACUUUUGUUUUGGCCAUGAAAAAUAACUAACUUACAUAUUGUAGGGUUGAAAGCAAAGCACGAAGAUUUCCCUCUUUUCCAUUUGACCACCUCCGGAUAUCAGCAUCCAAUGUACUUGAAAUUCUCUGUGACCAUGGUUAAAAACAUUAAAAUUUUAUUGAAAAAAAUUAAGAACAAAGAUAUCACAUAUUCAUGUCUUCGAAAUAGAUCGAUCAUGUUAAAAAUGGCUUACUUGUCGUUCAUCUACUUCUCUUUGAGACAUAACAUCACGUUUAUUCUUUUCCUCAAGAGCUCGUUUCUGACAUCGAAUAAAAAGGAUACAUGACACAUUUUAAACCAACAAAUAAAAAAUCUAGAAGUAUUUUUUAGAAAAUAUGUAUGGAUGUAAAUGUAACCAAAGCACAUACUGCCCGAUCAUGUGUCCGCUUAGUACGCUCUAAUCUAGCUUUCUGUCUCAUAGGGGUUUCACUUUCAUUUCUACCUGCAUAAUGAGAAAGUAACAAAAUUUCGUCUUAAACCAUACCAUAUCACGAUGAGUCCGUGACAUAAUUUAGAAAUUUAGUAAGAGCGUGAAAAAAACUAAUGACAAAUUGCCAACUAAUAUUGUUAUUACCAGGAUACACAUCAGAACCAUUUUGAGAAUUUUGUCUCGCUCCAGAAUAAUUUCUUUGUUGAUCUCGACCCUCUCGGUAAAUUGUAUUUCUUAUCCUUUCUUGUUCUUCACGCUCCCUAGCAUCUUGAAUAGAUUUUUCAGCAGCACGCUGUCUCACUUCUGCGGUUGCCUUCUCAACGGCAGCACGUUCUGCCCUCAUUCUAGCUUCCUUUUUAAUUUUCUCAGCACGUAUUGCUCCUGCUAUUGCCUUUUCUCGUAUAUCUAAAAAAGCUCUUUGUCGAGCUUCAAAGUUUGCCCUAUCCACAGCAGCCUUUUCUGCUGCUACCCUUCUCCGGGAGUCAAUGAUUUCUCUCUCUCUCUCUCUUUUCCUUUCAUUCUCUUCUUCUAGUUUCCUAAUCAUUUCUUCUUCUUCUAGUUUCCUAGUCCUUUCUUCUUCUAGUUUCCUAGUCCUUUCUUCUUCUAGUUUCCUAGUCCUUUCUUCUUCUUGUUUCCUAAUCCUCUCUUCUUGUUUCCUAAUCCUCUCUUUUUCUUCUUCCCCAGCUAUUUCUUCUUCUUGUUUCCUAAUCCUCUCUUUUUCUUCUUCCCUAGCUAUUUCUUCUUCUAGUUUCCUAGUCCUUUCUUCUUCUAGUUUCUUAGCUAUUUCUUCUUCUUGUUUCAUACUUCUCUCUUCUUGUUUCCUAGCCAUUUCUUCUUCUAAUUCCCUUUCAACCAUUUUAUCCCUUCUACUUUCUUCACUAGUGAAUGCUGCAACACUGCUUUUAUCUUUUUCGGAUUCAACAUUACGAUCAACUAAAGUAUUUCGACAUGAAUCGUCUAGCUCCUUCUCAGUCACAGCACUCUGUAAAACCACUUGCGCUGCACCCUUCAUACUGAUGUUUUCUUGUCUAUUGGAGGCCACCUCAUAUACCAUGUUAUCGUCACAAUGCCUGGUGUCAAUGUUCGCCUUAAUGUUAUGUUCAUCAUCUAAUUUGGAUGGUACAUGUUCUUCACCAUCUCCCUGUUGAGCUUCUUUUAUUAUUUUAUCGCAAAAGUACUUCCAACGACUCUUUUCUAUUAUUGCUUCAUUCUCAUCUACAGUGUGCAUAUUUUCCUCAUUUUGUUUAGAACUGCAGUCUUCGAUUUUACCACUUCCCAUAGGUUUAAAUUCACUUUUAUCAUGACCACUUUGCAUUAAAUGAUCUUCUGCAUGAUGAUUCUUUAUUUUAAUGCCAGACUCGUCUUCUUCACAUGCAUAGGUUAACUCUAAAUGGUUGGCAUGUUCACGGAUAUAUGAUUCAUGUUGUGGUUCUAUUCCUUGCUCAUUUUGAUGAGGGUGCAAUAGACUUCUGCUUGCAUUCAACUUGUUAUCAUUAUAAUCUGAUGAUAUAGAUUCAUUGCUAGUUGUAUCAACCACUUUCACGAACUCUUUAUGUGCAUCAAUCUCUUCAAAACAUGUUGAUUUUCUUACUUCCAUCUUGCUUUCAGAAAAGACAUUAGUGCCACUAGUCUCACUAAUUUCAUUUAACCUCGUAUAAAAUUUAUCAGAUUCUUUCUUGUCGUCUUCAUGUAGCUGCCUUUUAUCAUCAUGUAGUUGUGUUUGAUCGUCUAGAAGUACCUCAGAUAAUAUAGCAUCUUCUUUCUCAUCAUUCUCUUGUGAAUAUUCAUCUGGAAUUGUCUCAAGAAUCUCUUUGGUUUCUUCCACUGCACAAACAUUACUGCCUUCAUUCAAUUUGGCAUCCCUAUGGUUCACUUCAUAAUUACCAGUGCCAGCAAAUACAAAAUCAUUUGUUUUCAGUUCAGGUGCGAGUUUAAUCAUUUUCUUAUCAGAUUUAUCAGCCUUUGGUUUUGGGUAAGCCUUUGAAUUCUUAUCAUUUGAAUCAUCCUCAAAAAUCUGAUGAACUCCUGUGGACUUGUUAUCAUUGUUUACCAGUUCAAAAAACUGAUCCUUUACUUUCCAUUUCCCUUCUCUCUCAUCCUGGAUAUAAGAAACUUGGGUCGGGUCAAUUUCCUUUGUAUUCUUUCUUCUUAAUGACUCCUCGGCUAAGUCAAAGUAUCUUUCAUUUGCUUCAAGAUCUGGAACAACAUUCCCAACACUUAUGAUCUUCGGCCUUCUAUCAUUUUCACUGGUUUCUUGGGAAAUCAUCUGAUUAUUAAUUUCCAUUACAGGAACAGUUUCAUUCAGUUUUCGUUCUUUGACUUUUGUGAUCGUUUUCUUCCAAUUUUGUAGACUCUCUUUUUUCCUCUCCAUUGAUACUUUUGCACUUUUUAAUCUGGCCUGAGCUUGUUCCAUUGCUUCUCUCAUUGCAGCAAGAGAAGCUGCAGCUUCUGAACCAACAUCAGUAUCCAUAUUAAAAAAAGGUGCGGCCCUACUUGAACCAGUGGCACUUAAAAUACUUUUAGUUUCUUUGUUUGAAGAAGCCUUGUAAACAUUUUUAUCCAAACAAUAUGCAUCUGCUUUUACUGUUGGUUUAAAGCUUUCAGCCUUUAUCCCACCUUCACUGUUACAUACUCUCGGCGGAGGCCUUGCAGGUGGGGGAACUGCGGAAGGUUGUGUUCGAAGAUUGAUAUCAGAAACAGUUAUAAACCUAGUAUUGGUAUAAGCUUUAUCACUAACAGAAGAAGAUUUCGAUGAAUUGCUAAAUGACUUGACAUAAAGUUGGUCAUGUUUGUGGUCGUUUUUAAUCAUAGAGAUUGGAGGGUUUGCUGAUGUGGUUUUCUUGGAUGUAACCGAUGUAUCAAACUCGGACAUCUUCUGUUGCUGAUGUGAAAUACCUUUUGGACUCUUUGCGCUACUCGGUGAAGAAGUGAGUGAUGAUGCAGAGUGGACAGAACAUGUAUCUUCUAAUUUCACAGCACCAGGACAGUCAAAUUCUGACUCAUCAGAAGAAGAGCAAGAAUGGUACUGCUCGUUGGCAGAAGUAUCUUCAACAUUCGGGUUGUCUCCACUGCGAUCAAAACCCUUCUUUGCAGCAACUGUACUUAGGAUUAAAAAUAAAAUUAUAGCAAUGGUAAUAAAAUAAUAAUAAACCAACCAAGUGACGUGAAACUACGUAUUUACAACAUGUAUACAAUAUGUAUUUACAAUUUUACAUCAUGUAAACAAUAUGUAUUUACAUCAUGUAAACAAUAUGUAUUUACAUCAUGUAAACAAUAUGUAUUUACAUCAUGUAAACAAUAUGUAUUUACAACAUGUAUACAAUAUGUAUUUACAACAUGUAUACAAUAUGUAUUUACAAUACGUAUACAAUAUGUAUUUACCUCCAUUGGCUUGACUUGAUUUUAUUCCAGAUCCCCCAUUCAAGUUGCUUGCUUGAGAAGAUUGAAAAACAUCAUGUUUUGUUUCCUUGUCAAGCCUGCACAUUCAAAAAGAUCCAAUGUUGAAUCAAGCGUCUCACUUUUAUUGAAUUCUUGUGGAAUAAACAUAAAAUAAUGAAAAAUAGGAGCGUAAAAAACUAAAGGAAGGCAACAAACAAAGCAUUUAUAAAUCAUUAAAUCAGAUCCAAUUCGCAGUGAUUUUUAGAUCUCCGUUUAUCGGGAAAUAAAUAGCCAUAAUAACAGGAAUUUCAUAUCUGACAUGCAUUGAUGAUAAUGAUACUUAAGACAACACGAACGUAGAUGGAAAAAAAUUAAAAAGUAACAGAAGAAGAAAAGUACGAACCCUCCAUUGAGAGAAGAAGCGGAAGUGCCGUGGUUGAGAAUCUCUUCGUAGGGAACACCAAAUCUAGAAUCAGCGAAACCACCAAAGAUAUCAACGAGGUCGAUCGGGACCGAACUUCGAAAGCAGGAAGUGCCAGAGCCAGCAUCGGCACAAGGUACUGGAGGCAGAUCAAGCACGGGAAUGGAGUACGAAUAUCCCCCGAAGAUCUCACCGUAAUCCGAUGUUUUAAUGGGACUAAAGCUCUUCGGAUCGGUUGACGUUUGCUGUUGCUGGUCCUUCUGGCCAGAGUUCUGAUGAGUCUGGGGACGAUGAGACCGUCGCCUUCGUUGCUGGUGUAGCUCCUUCUGGUUGAAGUAGGCAGGACUUUGCAUCGCCGGAGAAAAAUGUGCGGACGGUUCUCAGUUGCGGCGGUUUUGAUUUGGCAAGAUUAGGGUUUCACAGGGUCUUGUUCUGUUUGUUUUUUUGUUUCUGAAUUCUGAAAUGGUGGAAGAAAAAUGAAGAAAUGGUAGAAGAAAAGGAAAUAAUUAGUGGUGGAGAUGUAUGUGAUUGGAUGGCAGAAUUUGUCUUUUUAAUACAGGUAGAAGUAUGGCCCACAAUGUAACAGUCAACCUGAAAAAACCCGAUUGAUAUCUUUUUCUUUUACCAGAAUUUAUAUUUGAAUACUUAAAUUUAAAUUGUAAUAACCUUAAAUUCUCUAGGGUUUUAUUAUAAAAUUUUAACCAAAAAUUAGUAAAACCAAAAUAUCAUAAACCUCCUCAAACAACGUAUUUUAUUAUUGUAUAACUAGAAUACAUAACUAAUAAAAAGAAGUCAAUGAAUUUCUUGUUUAUUUUUUUUGUUUCUAUUUUUAUUUUUAUUCUCUAUGUAACAUGAACAUUACCUUUAUUUUUUGAAUAAAAUUUAAUUGCUUUCAAAAAAAUAUAUAUAUCAUAAGGAUACUAAUUGACUAUAAAGUUGACAACAGGGUAGGAUGUGAAAAUGGCACGCUUGUCCCCCCAAAAAUAUGAACGGAAGCAUAGAGGCUAGGCAAAAUUAAAUGUUAAUUAUAAUCGUUCAUAGGGAUGUAAUCCGACCGGGUCUAGGGUGGGUCAAACUGGACCUAAACCCUUUAAGAUUACAGGGACUGAUGCGGGGUCAGGAAAAAAAUAAUGGCCCCAGAACCAAGAACUAUAGGAGUUGUUUUUUUUAAUAAAAUCAUGAUAAAUAUAUACCUAAAAAAAUGGUACACCAUGAUUACAGAGCACAAGGAUACCAGCUUACUAAGAACUGCAGGGGUUGUAGGUUACAAUUAAGGACACCAGCUUACUAAGCAUCAAAUGUAAGGAGGGGGAUCGGGUGGAGUGGUGUGGAAAGUGGCGAGUGCGGUUAACGUUCACAACACAUUAAAAAUACCGGCUGACCCUGACCCACUAGAAGCAGGGAUCUAGAGUUGUAAGUCUUCCAAGAUGAGCACCUUACUGUAGAGGUUGUGUAAGAAUAUGAUAUACGCCUCAAUCACAGUUUAUACUCAAUAAUAAAAUCGAGUGGACCUGAUGAUAGAGGGUGCUUUAGAUCUGGAAUUUUUCAAUCCAGAUAUCCAAAGCAACUAGCAGCGGGAUCAAUCCCUGAUAUUGCAUCUUAGCACUUUCUGGAAAUUCGAUGUUACUCGUUCUAGUAGAGCGCUCGAUCCGGUAGUUCGAACAGAGGCAGAUCGCAGAUUGGAGAUGUUCUGAUAAUGUGGGAUGAGAUGACGGCGGAUUGCAGGAAUCUUAGUGGGAUGUAGGGCAUGGAAUUUUAUGAAGAUUUGGGUAAAAUCAUUGAUUAAAUGAAAAUGUAAUUCUUACAACAACUUAAAUGAAAUAGUUUCUGAAAUUUAAAUAAAGAGUAGGGACUACUUAAAUAAUUUCCCAUUUAAAUUUGGCUACACCAAUUAACCCGAGCCCACUUCAUAGUCUCUCAUCCAAGCUGGUCUUUGGCUAACCCGGCUUGGUUUGGGGACGUUAACAUCCGGCCCAACCGAAUCAAACGCUCCUGGAUCGUCGCCGCCGCAACCCUGUCCAGAGUCGCCUGAGCCCUUGUCUUCUCCGGUAACGUCGCUCGCCCCUUCUUCAGAGUCGCUUGAAUCUUCCUCUCCAACGAUGGCAGCAACAUCUUCCUUUACUGUCUCAUAACCUAGAUGUAUCACAUCAGAAUCGUCUUCAUACUUUCAACAAGUCGAGGAAUUAGGGAAUGCAGUGGUCGGAAAUGUGUAUCCUAUGUGGCGAUGUGGAGGGAGACUCCAGAACACCUCUAUCCAAAUUGUUUGGAUAAAGAAACUCUGACUAUCUUUUAAAGAACUUACAAGACAAGCGAUGUGGAGAAUGCGAAAUUGGAGGACAACAACCCUGUGUUAAAAUCCCGUGCUGGAGGUCGCGGAAUGAUGACGAUCGACGGGAAUGACUCCGGCAGGAAACUUGCAGGAGAUUGACGUGAUUAAGGUUAGGGAUUUUCGCCCAAGAAGAUUGGGGAAAAACCUAACAGUAACGGAUAGAAUGAAGAAGAAAGAAAGAGGGAGAAAGAGGGAAAAUCAAUUUUGCGCUAAUUACCAAAAUGUAAUUAACUUGAUGUUAAUUGAUUAUUAAUUUAUUCAUAAUACAUUGUCUUAUAUACACAAAUUAACAGUUAAUAAUUUUAACUAAUUCUAAAACUUCUGGACUCGUGGGCUGGACUUCUAUUUGAUCCGAGUCCUGGUCCAAUUUGUUAAUUGUGUAAUUUAAAUGAAUCUGCAAAAAUACCCAAGAGUUAUUAGUAAUUACACAUAGGUAUUUUAUUUUGAUUUGUGAUUUAUAUAAAAGUCCUUGGAUUAAUAUAAAACUAAAAUAUUAAAACAAUUGGAACUUUUAUACUUAAGACCUCUGUAAAAACAUUACAGAAGUAUUUUAGAACCUUUUAUUAUUUGUAUUACACUUUAGGUCCAAUUAACGAAUUAAUUGGAACUUUUGUAUUUUAAGUCCCUGUUGGUUAAUACAAAACAGUUUAUUCUGUUUUGUAGAAACCUUAGGACUUUUUAUAUUAGACUUAGGUCCUAACUUAGUUUCUUAGGGUAAACUUCUAUUUUACCCUAGAUUUCAGCUGUAUUUCUUAUAAUGUCUUCGCCUUUGAGUCUAGUUUUUCUAAUACCUUCAGUAUUAGUUGCUCUAACACGAUCUACCAACUUCCUAUUCAUGACAUGUCCAGUAGUGGUUAGAUGGGGCAGGCCGACCAAUACCAUGUCCAAUUAAAUGUAAGGCCACUGACUCUAGGUCUAAAGAAUUGUCAGGAGGGAUUGACCAAAUCUCUCCUGAAUCAAAAGUGAGCUCUGCUUGAGUUGGAGGAGGCGUGGCUAAAGCUACAGUGUCAGCUGGAAAUAUUUGCAAGAAUUGAAGAACUAUGUUGGCCUUACACUUCACCGAUGUCUGAGAAUAAAAUAUCGAUUAGAUGAGUAUUAUAUUAUUGAUGAUAAAUAAAUAAACAUAUGUACACUUAGGGACUUACGAUGCAAACGUUUUAACGUGCCCAUGCAUCGAAAGCCUUUGUAAAUAUCCUUUUGCGGGUGUUAAAUGGAAUGGUAGUGCGAGCCGGAUCUAGGUAGAACUUCAGUCCACCAACCUGUCUGGACGACCAUCGGGCAGGAGGAAUAUCUGGAGUGAAAACGUUAAUACCCGGAGCCGGAUGAGGAAGUAUAUCAGCACGGGCAGCAGAGAUUUGUCCGGAUGAUGUUGUUAUGGAUGCGAGGAGGAAGAAACCAAGGAAGACAAGAUAUGACAUGGUGAAUUAAUGGCAAGAAUUUAGUUUCCACUUUGGGAAAUUUAUUUAUACAACUUUUCUACGAUGUGAAUUUAAUGAGAUGAGCAUAUAAUGUUUGACCGUAUUAAAGAGACAAUUUUAAUAUAUCGAUCUAAGUAUUUUUCAAUCUAUUUUUUUCCAAAAAAAUAAAAUUAUAUCAAAAUAUAAUAAUAAUAUAUAUUUAGUUGAGUGACACUUUUCAUCAUUUAAAGACUAGUUGUACAUUUUUUGUCAUAAUUUUUUUAAAUGCCAUUAAAUAUGUGUAAUCCAAAGUGAAUCGUAUAAAUUGUGAUUUUUAUAUAAUUAAAUUGAGAGUUUGAGAUUUUGAUAUAAACUUUUUUAUAUAUAAUUAAAUAGAUUUUCAUGUAAACUGACUUUUCAUGUCGAAAAAAAAAAUUUAAUGUUGAAAAAUUAAAUUACCCUACCUAGCUAAUAGUUCUUUUAAUCAUUUGCAAUUAAUUUGGGAUCGACGUGUCCAAAUUAACAAACAAUAUAUUUAGCACACAUUUGUAAGUUGAAUUUUAUCAUUAUUUUAAUUAAGAAAAAAUAAAAAUGUUUUAUUUUUCUUUUCUAACUUUUAACGUCAAGAAAUUUUUUAUAGUUAAUGUUGACAAAAACCCCUGAUUAGUUGUUUUCAUUUAUUAUGAAUUUAUGAUGAGACAUAUUCUAAAUUAUUUUAUUUUAUCACAACAAAAUAAGUCGACAAACUUCAACUCCAUCUAAAGUGGGAUGAUACCUCAAUUCUCACCCUUAAAUCUAACCCCACAUUUAAUUACUAAUUGUUCAUUUUAGGUCCAGACCAACAUCAUGGGUCUGGGUCUGGGUCUGGGUCUGGGUCCGGGUUCAAGCCAGCCAGCCUAGACCCGACUUUUACAUCACUACGGAGAGCAAGCGCAAUGUCAAAAAAUUAAAACAUAAGGCAGCCAAAUUCUAUGAUGUCGGAGGGAUUAAUUCUUUACAAAAAGUUUUUCGAUAGUAUGCUCUUACAUUGCAUAACCAAACCGAACACAAAACAAGUGAUCCAUGAGGUUCAUGAAGGCUCGUGUGGACUCCACGAGAGCGGAAUAUCGUCCGCUUUCAAAAUUAUUAGGCUAGGCUACACUGGCCAACCCUGAGAAUGGAAACGCAUACUUUCGUCUGUAAAUGCCGGCCGAGCAUGUCAGUUGCAUAGUCUGAUGCAACAAAAAAAAUCAUCCACAAGCAUGGCCCCGAUCCUGAGCUCAAUACCAUUCGCCCGGUGGGAACUGAACAUUGUAGAUCCAUUUGCACUUUCUACGUCUCAGGCUCGGUUGCCGUAAAUUACUCUACUAAAUGGAUCGAAGUCUAAGCAGUGGCCAUGAUUACUCAGGAUACGACAGUAAAUUUUAUAUAUCGUUCUAUCGUAUCUUGAUUUGGAAUUCUCCAACAUAUCAUUACUGAUAAUGAUACGCAAUUCACAGGAAGUAAGUUUUCGAGAGAAGAUCUGAGACUAAACUACGUACACUUGCAUCCGUUUACCGACCAUAGGGAAACAGAUAUAUAAGUGGAGGUUACCAAUAAGGCGAUCGUACAAUCUCUCAAAAAGAUAGUCGAGUCGACCAAGGGGGCUUGGGCAGAUAAGUUGUGCAAAAUCCUAUCGACAUAUCACACGAUGAGUAAAAACCCUACGGGAAGAUGCCUGAUGAAGCACUAAAUCUGCUACCAGGGCUCGCGGUGGUGUGAGGUUGAUGCCGGAGGCUUUGGAGUCCACGACGCACGCUCUACGUCAAAAUACCUGCAAGUGAAACUAGGCGAUUCUAGUGAGAAUCAGCGAGUUUCGUAGUGUAGUGCUCUGGUGUGAGAGUGGAACUUGAAUCGUGCCUUUGAGUGUCCCCUUGGGACCCUUUUUAUAGGGUCUCGGAGGGCGCACUCAUCGGCGGAGAUCGCGCCUAUGGUCAUAUAUGGUAACAUUUAUGACGUUGGUUGCCGCCGAGUAACGGUCGUAAGUCGCCGAUUCAGGUAUGGAAGUCGCCUAGUUAAGGGCUAACUCGGCGAGUUUCUAGGGCCAAGACGUACAGUCUACCAUACUGCCGAUCUUGCCUUAACUCGGCGAGUUAUCCUGUAUGUCGGCGACUUGGUAGUCCAAUCGGGCGACUUACGGGCUAACUCGGCGAUCUGGACGAAGAACGAUGUUCCGCACCGUGGGAGCUCUCCGGGGGUCCUGCCAUAGCGACGGAGCCCUAGUCCUUGUUGAGAGGCGUUGAUGGGUAGUGACUGGUGUAAUCAGGCAUGUCUCACCAAAGCCUCUUCGUCAUGACAUACGGAAUAGAAACCGUCGUACCUAGGGCUGUAAAUGGGUCUAGGUCCGAUCCGGACCCGGACGUCCGGGCCCGGGAUUGAUUUUGGACCCAUUAAAGGGUUUGGACCCGAAGGCCCGGGUCUGGGUCUGGGUCCAGAUUAGCUAGACCCGGACCCGGAUAUUAUAAAUGUUAGAUAAAUAUUUUAUAAUAUAUUAGUAAGUUAGGGUUUAAAUAUAAAAAAAUUUAAUAUAUAUUUUAUUAAUAUAUUAGUAACUUAAGGGUUAAAUGUAAAUACCUAACAUGCUAUUAUUGACCUAACAUACUAAUUAUCGACCUAUGCUAUUUUUAAUUUAUGUUUAUUGAUUUUACUAAAAUUUAUUGACUAUUUUUGUAUAUUUAAUUAUUUUUUGAUUUUUUUAGAUAAAUAAAAAAAUCACUUUUUGGACCCGGACCCGACUUAGACCUGGAUUUUUAUGGGUAUGGACUGGGUCCGGGUCCAGACAUUUUCCUUCUGGAUCCAGACCUGGCUAGACCCAGCCCAACUUCAUGGGUCCGGGUCCAAGCCAGCCAGCCCAGACCCGACCCAUUUAAUUUACAGCCCUACUCGUACCAAUCGAAAUAAGUAUAUCCACACAUAGAAUUUUGAGCUACGACGUGCAAUUAAAUGACCAAAAUCUAUUGACGGAUUAUAAAGAGAGGAGACACGCGAUGAGGCAAAUCUACAUAACGAAGCUUAUAAAGCUAACGUAGCACGAUAUCACAAUCGUCAAGUUCGAGCAAAAAUCUUUUUACCAGGAACACUGUUACGUGUAAGGUAGCCAAAAACACGUUAUCGUCUAACUUCGAAGGCCCGUACAUCAUGAAGGAAGAGAUACGGUCAGGAACCUAUCACUUAAGGCGGUAAGGCAUGACACUAGUCUCAAACACUUUUCACGCCAAUGACACUAGUAUGACAUUAGUCCCUAACCCUAACCCAAUAGCAUGUCCACAUGAUCAAUGCACCGUUGCCGUCCUCUCCUCGACCUUGGUACCAUCGUCCCAUCAAAGGACGUCGACCAUAUCAUUUUCGAUGACCAUCUGACCUCUAUCACUCUUCCGACCUCUAGCUCCCACCGGUGAAUUCUAUAAAUUCAACCAAACUCCAAAUAACUACAACAAACUACUGCAUGCAGCUCAUACCUGUAUUUCAAAAAUUGACGAAAAUUGCCACAACUCCAUCUCCUCCCCAAUGUCACGCAAUCUACUACGUCGAUUACCAUUCGUAGGAGGCUCACAAAAAGGCGACGACCUGAAUUCGUAAGAUGACAAAUCCGAUGUCAUUGACCUCCGCCCGUCGCCUGACUCAACCCUUGAAUUCAGGUCGUCGCCUUUUCCUCUGAUCGGACACCCGUCUCAACUCAAUCGCAUCAUACGCAGCCAACAUCUGGCAUUGUAUUGGGAAAGCAAAUCUGUUCAAUAAAUAACCAACUACAGUUGGUAGUUACUGUAAUAGAUAGUUAUAAAUAUAACCAUUGUAAAUCCAAAUAAUACACUUGAUUUCAAUUCAAUCAUUCCAGUAACACUCACUUGUGAACCCACUUUCGUUCUGUAUUUCCAUCAUGGUACCAAAACCUCAAGAAGACGGGUACUCACCGUCUCAUUUAGAUCCAACUUCCGCUGCGGGAAAUACAUCCAAGAUGAACGGGAAAGGUUCAACAAAGCUUGUCACCAAACAUAUCAAGUGCAUCAUGCUCGAAGAAGAAAAUUUCUUCUGUUGGAGAGCAUAGUUCUCGGCGUUGUUGAGAGGCUACCAUCUCCUUGAAUACGUUGAAGGGAAGAUGGAGAUAUCUCCGGACAGCAUCGCCGAACAGCAAGACCAGCUCAUACUGAGCUGGAUCUUGACUUCAGUAUUACCGUCAAUUCUCCCACAAGUCAUUGCUAUGACGACGUCUACGGAGGUGUGCAAAUGCCUCAAUGAAAUGUUCUCAUCGGAUUCUGAAACUUGCCUCUUACAUCUCCGUUUUCAACUACAAAGUAUAAAGAAAGGGGAUCUCAACAUGCUCGAUUUCUUGAAGAAUAUAACCAUCGCAAAAGAUAAGCUAGCUGCAAUAGGGGAAGGAUUAAAAGAUUCCCAGGUCAUACUGAUUGCAUUGGGCGGACUUGGGCCCGAUUAUCAACCCUCUGUGACAUCUAUCACAACGAGGUUUUAUAAAACAAUGACGUUUUCACAGUUCAAAAGACUCUUGCUCGAUCACGAUCUACAAUACAUGUCCUCGAUAAUGGUUUCCUGGACUGAAGCCAACGUUGCCAUAAAACAUAGGUCCGAUGAUCGUCGAGACAAGGCAUGGUGUGCUAAAUUUGCACAAGAAAGGGCCAUGGAGCUAAGGACUACUAUCAUAGAGUGAAUUUUGCAAAUAUCCGACGGUAUCACAUUCUCGUCGGUUAAUAUCAACUGGACUUAAUGAUCAAUCUAAUCAUUCGGGACCGGUUGCAAACGUCGCAGUAACAGGACGGGCGUCAACAGUAUGGUAUCUUGAUACUGGGGCAACUGCCCAUAUAACUCAUUCAGGUAUAUUACCCAAUAAUUUUGUUGAAUAUACGGGUAGAGAUUCUGUUUUCACAGCUAACGGAGGUACGAUGAAAAUCGAGAAAGUCGGAAAACUCGUAGCCUCGGAUCUAAUUCUAAAUGAAAUUUUACUAGUUCCUGAUUCUUCAAGAAAUUUACUAUCUAUAUCUCGUUUAUGUACUGACAACAAGAUAUAUGUCAAAUUUGACGAACAGAAAGUAAUAAUAGCAGAUAAGGAGACCGAUGAAGUUCUAGCUGAAGGGAAAAUGGUGAAUGGACUAUAUUGGUUGUCUCUAGAUGUGAAUAAAGGACAUCAUGCUUUGUCGGCUCAGAAAAUUACGGGAAAGCGUUGGCACGUAAGGUCGGGACACUUGAAUGAAAAAUCAAUUCGAUAGUUGGUUAACAAAGAUGUAUUACCUAAUGAUACAAUCUGUAAAAAUAUAUCUGUCAUUCAUGUGUUAUACAAAAAUCUCACAAUUUGUCGUGUAAAGAAAGUGAUCGAAGUUACUCACCGUUAGAAUUAAUAUUUUCGGAUAUCUGGGGACCGGCUCCAGUAGAGUCAAUCGGCAGAUAUAAAUAUUACGUGAAUUUUGUCGACGCAACUACAAAUUUUUAUUGGGUAUAUCCUUUGAUCAACGAAAAUAUUUGAUCAGUUCGGAAUUGAUCAUAGAUUCUCUUGUCCGUACGAUCAUCCUCAGAUGGGUACAGUAGAAAGACGACACCGGCAUCUAGUCGACACAGCGUUAACAAUGUUGCACUUUGCAAAUAUACCCAAGGAAUUUUGGGACUAUGGGAUACUCGAUCACCGCAGCCACCCUAUAUAAUAAGAAUCCAACAAGAAUUCUUAAUGGAAUCUCUUCGAUGGAAGCGUUGUAUGGUCGCACACCAGAUUAUGAUAAAUUGUGCAUAUUUGACUGCAAAUGCUACCCAUGUCUACGUCAUCACCGGAGAAAUAAAUUAGAUGAUAAAUCAAUAGCAUGUGUGUUUAUCGGUUACCCGCAACAAAGUGAUAGAUUCUUGUGUUACAACCCAAAUGAAAAGAAAAUAUAUGUCUCCAAGAACGUUAAAUUUCUAGAAGAAGACUUUACACUGAAUCAAUGCUUAUGGCCAAACUCCGGCGAGAAAUCUCAGCUCAGAGAUAGCAACACAGUUGAUUCAGACGAUCUUGUGAUUAUGAAUGAAACGGAACCAACGUCUGAGUUGUCAAGCUAUUUAAAUCCAGCUAUAACAAACCAGGCCAGCUCAACACCCGUCAUGACGGAAAGAAUAUGUGCAAACCCGAUUGAGCAAAAUUCGGAUCCAAGAUCCAACACCCAAAUCGAGUAAAGUCCGAUUGAACAAAGUUCGAGAAAUACUGAACAAAGCGUGACACCGAACCGAUUUGCGCAAUCUGAAAGCGCAACAUCCGUCAACGAGAUCACCGAAUCAGUCAACGAACGGGAACCGGAGGCAAUCGGAAGAACAAUCGACGAUGGCCGGAACGAAGAAACCGGGAAAAGAAUGGCAACAAGAGCUUCGCAUGCAUGGGAUAACGAAGCCCAACCCGAAAUACAGUUUGUUAACAACAACGUAACAAACAGGAAUACCCAAGUCGGCAAAAUCAGCGUUAUAACAUCCGGAGUGGAAAGCCGCAAUGAAGAGUGAGUACGACGCUCUAAUUAAAAAUGAAACGUGGAGACUAUUUCCCAAAACAGAGCAUGAUAGGGUGAUAUACACUAAAUGGGUCUUCAAAGUAAAACAUGCAGAAGAUGGGACAAUCCAACGUUUUAAGGCAAGGUGGGUUGAAAACGGUAUGAGGCAGAUUGAGGGUUGCGACUAUAAUCAAACAUUUAGCCCGAUGGUGAAAGCAAACUCAGUCAAAAUUGUGCUCACAGUCGCAAUAACAAGGAAUUGGGUGUUGAAACAAAUUGAUGUCUCAAACGCCUUUCUAUACGGAAAGUUGGAUGAAAGAAUAUUAGUAACACAACCGGUUGGAUUCGAAGAUAAGGAACGGCCAGAUUAUGUGUGUUUGCUGCAGAGAUCAUUGUACGGCUUAAAACAAUCUCCGAGGAUGUGGUAUCGUAGACUACGGGAGUUUCUGGUUCAAAUAAAGUUAUUCCGAUCCAUCAUUAUUCAUCUACGACAACGAAGGUGAACAAAUUUAUCUAUUCACAUACGUAGACGAUAUAGUCAUUACGGGUCAUCGUCAACGUUUUUGAAAACAGUGAUUGGGAAAUUGGGUUCGGAGUUUGCGAUAAAAGAAUUGGGUGAUCUAAGAUACUUCUUAGGUAUUCACGUUCACAUAAUGGAAGGAAAGAUAAUGCUAUUUCAACAACAAUAUCUUCGGAAUCUGCUAACAAGUUGUGGGCAUACGAAGUUGAAACCAUCCACCACACCGAUGUUAUCAAACGAAAAAUUUCAAAUAAACAACGAUCACUCAUCGGAUUUGAGUGAGUACCGACGAAUCAUCGGAUUCCUACAAUAUCUCACUUUGACACGACCCUAUGUGCAAUAUGCCGUGAACAAACUAUCACAAUUCUUGAACACGCCGACCUCCGAUCAUUGGACAACUCUCAAGAAGCUACUUCAAUAUCUAUCGGGAACUCAAAACUUUGGGAUCACAUUAACUAAGGUGAAAGAUUUCGAUAUAACAUGUUAUUGUAACACGGAUUGGAGAGGCGACCUCAUCGAUAGGAAGAGUCACACAGAUACUUAAUAUACAUCGACAGAACGUUAGUUUCAUGGUCUUCGAAGAAACAAGCAGCUCUCACAAGAUCCAGCACAGAGGCCGAAUAUAGAGCCAUAGCCCAUAGCUACAACCGUUGAGGAAGCAGAAGGAGUUCGACUAUUAUUGGCAGAAUUGGGAGUGAAAAUUGGCUUGCCAACGAAGGUAAAAACCGACAACCAAGGAGUUGUGUUUAUCGCAAACAAUCCUAUUUGUCAUAGCAAAAUGAAGCAUGUGGCAAUGAAUUUUCAUUUCAUCCGAGAAAAAUCCGAACAAGGGGUGUUGAAAGUAAGUCAUAUAUCAGGUAAAGAACAACUAGCCGACAUAUUAACAAAGCCAUUAUCGCCAAAGCUGUUCAACGAAGCAAGUGACAAACUAAUCGGACACUGCCCUAUAGUUUGAGGGGGAGUAUUGGGAAAGCAAAUCUGUUCAACAAAUAACCAACUACAGUUGGCAGUUACUGUAAUAGAUAGUUAUAAAUAUAACCAUUGUAAAUCCAAACAAUACACUUGAUUUCAAUUCAAUCAUUCCAAUAACACUCACUUGUGAACCUACCUCGGUUCUGUAUUUCCAUCAAAUUGUACUUGAUCAUCCACUGAGGUGAAUCAUCUGGGGGACAGAACACCAACAAGCACCUAUCAUGCAUUACUACCCAAUUUUCAACAAUAGCCAAAUGUUUGAACACCGCUGUGACCUUGUUCCCUUCCACCUAUACGACAGUCCACUAACCAUCAAUCACAACUCCUCCAACCAGUCACCUCCACUUCAACUAUCCCAAUGACCCAAUUCCACAUGUCAACAAAAUUGUCAACUCAUGCCCCACCUGUUAAAAUGUGAGUGCGUCCUUCUGUCCUGAGAUUGAGGAAGAAUCGCACAGAAUCCGAGAAAUUAACAAAGGGGAAAGAAGUUAGGGUUACUCGAGUAACCUAACUUCUCUAGGUAGUAAGUAGUUACAACUGUAGAAAAACUAAUUAGCAGAAAUCUUGUAUUAAGAAAAUGUAAUCAAUUGAUUUGAAACGUUAUUACACAUGAGUAUUUAUUAAGUUGAUACAAGAUUUACUUUUACUAAUCUAAAUGACUAACUAUUAGCAACUAAUUCUUGCUGGACUAAUUCAACAAUAAAAGCCCAGUUAUCUUCUUUUAUUUCUUUGGCCCAUCCGAAUUAUUAAAUGGUGAAGUUGUAGCUUUGUCCUUGUAUAUUUCAUUACUCCAAUUUUCCUAACAAGCCUACAUACUCACAUUUCAUUUAAUUGCACAUUAGUCUAACCUGUAUAUUAUAUAUAAAACUUUGUUAAUUACUUCGUUACUCCCUCAAGCUCUGGAAUAAAUAUUUAUGAUUCCAAGCUUGACAAGGUUGAAGUAAUUUCAUUUUCACCCAUGGGUUUAGUGAACAUUUCUGUCAAUUGGUACCUUGUUCCAAUUUGCUUUAGACCAAAUACUCCAUGGGUGUUUAGUUUUCUAAUAAAUGGCAAUCUAUCGCUAUAUGAUUUGUUCUUUCAUGAAAAGUAGGGUCAUUAGUUAGAUUGAUUGCUGAUUUAUUAUCACAGUAUAUUAAUGUUGUUUGAUUAUUAGUUUUAAUUUUCAUUUCUUUGAUUAAUUGAUGAAUCCAUAUUACCUCACAGGUUGUUUGAACUAUUGCUCUGUAUUCUGCCUCACAUGAGGAUCUUGAUAUUAUUUCUUGCUUCUUGGACUUCCAGGAUACUACUGAAUUUUCAAUCAAGAUACAGAAGCCAGAUACUGACUUUCUGUUGAUUUGGCAACCAACCCAAUCAAAGUUACAGAAGACAUGAAUGCUCAUAUUCUCACUGCUUUUAUAUAGAAUGCUCAUUUCUAUCGUCAUCUCUAGUAACCGGUCCACUAUCUCAGAAAUCGCUCGAUCCUAUCUACGGUUAUAUCCGAUAUUCGCGCAAUUUGCUCGUCCAUCACUGUUAUGACUGUCUUCUCCAAGUCAUCGGCUGCUCCACUUACCGACGUCAUAUAAAAUUGCUUUAAGUUCAGCAAUAAUCAAGAUGAAAAUUAAAACUAGAACGGCACAUCCCUGAGUGGGAUCUGUCAAUAGUUGAGUCAUAGAUCACGACUUUGAAGAGUUUUUUUUGGAGGAGUCAUUCCGAUAGUUCACCCGAGCUGUCGAUGGAAAGAAAUUGAAAGCACCAAUGUAACGUCGUCGUCAAAGCGAUGUUGCGGGACGUCGAGAAAAGAUGAGAUUUGCAAGAUAGAUCGAGGAAUUCAGAGACGAGAGGCGAGAGAGAGUAGAAUUAAUUGUGGUAUAAAAAUGUUCUAUACCAUCCUAUGAGGAUGCUCAACUCUUUUUUUUUGAGUUAAAACUAUCUGUUAAUAUAUAAAUUUCAAAUAAAAAAAGAGGUGUGAUUACAUGCGAUCCACCCCAAACACUCCGCCUUGAUCCAGCUAAGUGAUCUUACGAUCGUUUAGGUCUUCAACAACCUUUAAGAACUGACUCACUGUUUCCUAAAACGAACUAUGUCUCAUCGUAGUGCGCCUUGGACAAUGGGAGAUGAAAAAACCCUGGUGUGCUCUUGGCAACUUUUCCUUUUCCUAGGGAAAACCCUGUCAUCACCUUUCGGUCAACUACAUGCAAGUGAUUACUCAUAUCGUUUCUACUUUCAAAGGAAGUCUAUCUCCUAAGAGAUAGAUCCUUCUAUGUAUAUGACUUUUUAGGUCAUUUCAUUAUCCCACUUUUACCUUCUAUGCUUUUGGUGAGUCAUAAUUCUAUUUUUAGUUGAAUUUCAGUCCACCAUUAGCCUAGAUAUUACAAUUCUUUAAUACAAGUUCCUACCGAAUUUGAGUUUCAAGAUAAUCGUAUUAAUAAUAAAAAUAGAUCAACUUGGUGUCGGUUGGGCGUUUCUAGCCCAUAAUUCCAUUAUCGUUACUCUUAGGUUGUCCAUCUGGCCUUGUACCUGUUCGCCAUGAAGGUGUUUGAUAUAUCCUGCCUGUAUUAUAUGUAUCCUUAUCUCUUGCGGCCACGUGCGUUUGUUUUCAUGCACUUUUUUUUUCCGGUCCAGAUCCCCUAGACUGCCGCAACCGUGUAUGCCCAUGUCAGACCCCAACAUGGCGUGUUCUUCGUUCUGGCAUGAGCCUCUUCCAUUACCUGUUCUAAAGAGAUUCCUGCACAUGUAAUUAACCUUGGAUGAUCGACUCCUAUAUAGCAAUGAAAAGCAAAAGUGACUAACAACCUCUACGGAUGCUAACGACUCUCGUAAAUAAAAUCAUCCAACUUCAUGGAGACCGGAUGACGUGCAGAUCAGCGAGGCACGAUCGUUGUCUAGUCUGGUGCACUGUCCUGCAAUGGUUACACACCCACACCCAGUUGUCGGCCCAAGUCUUUGUGUCUACCUACAGUGAUAACGGCCACGUUGCACCUCCAUCCUUAAAAUUACAAGUACCAAGGUGAGUAAAUUAAGAUAAUGUGGUAGAUUUUAUAUUCUUGUUUCAGUGGAAAUGACUGAAAUUUGUACAGGACGUAGAAAAAACUGCAAGAGAGCGUGUAAUUAUGGUUUCCAACUUUGAAGAUCGUAAAAGAAUCUCAUAUAGAAUUGCAAGAUAGCGUGCAAUUCUUCUAUAGUUUAAUUUAGGUUUGAUGGUGUGUGGGCUCGCGCUAGGAGACAUACACACUGAUGGGGAGACGAGUAGAGCGCGGAAGUUGACGGGAGGUGGGUUAACACGGAAGAAAAAAUUGGAAGUAGGGAUUGUUUAUUUUAUCGAAAUUGAAUAAGUAACUCGUAAAAUCACAAAGACAAUGAGAAAACGGUAACUCGUCGAGAGAUCAGGGACGCGAGCUGGAAUCGGCAGGGAACACCGGCCUGGAACGGAAGUAACAUAAAAGAGUUAGGGGUGGGGUAGAGUAACGGAAAAGGAAGGAAAGGACGAAGGAGGAGAAGGAGUGAUACCUGGUAGUGGGGUUCAAUAACUCCUUUUUCCUAUGAAAUGUGGUGUGCUUUUAUAGGAGAAUGGGGCCAAUCUCCAAGGCGUGACUGGUCUGGGCUGUCGAGCUGGAAUGAGCUACAUCAGUCGCCUCUUCUCCGACGAUACUUGUCCACAAGUGUGGAUUAUGUCCUAGUUCUGGAGAAGAGAACUUGGUCAGGUCCUUCACAUAUCGGUGAUAUACACAUGCCAUCUGGAAGAUCGAGUACGAAUGUGUUAUCAUUGAUUUCCUUGUGAUUUGGCAAGGUCCGAAACGACGAUCUUGUAGUUUAGAAUUUCGUCCUGGAGGAAAACGUUCCUUCCUCAUUCUUACCAUUACCCAAUCACCGACCUUUAAGUACGAUUGUUUCAGUGUUGAUCGACACCCUCUUUGUAUUUGGAUGUGUUGAACUCUAUCUGGCGGAGUGACUCAUCUUGAGCCGACUGGAUCUUGAGUAGGAGUUCCUCUACUCCGAUAACUCGUUGGUCACUGCUGGACAAAUCGGUCACCUGCUUUGGAAUUACUCCAUAUACUAUUUCGAAGGGACUCUUGCCGGUCGUCCUGUUGACCGAUGUGUUGUAUGCGAACUCCGCCAUGGCUAGAACCUGUUCCCAACCUCCCGGAUUUUGCGACACUAGAGCUCUCGACAAGCUGCCGACUGAUCGAUUGACCACUUCCGUCAGCCCAUCCGUCUGAGGGUGUGCCGAGGUGCUAAACUUCAGUGUGGUGUUUAGCCUUUUCCAGAGUAUUUUCUAGAAUUGCCCUACAAACAUGGGAUCACGGUCCGAUACUAGCGAUAGUGGUAGGCCAUGGAGUCUCACAAUUUCGUUCAUAAAAUGCUCCGUAAUUCGGGCGGCGGCGUUGCUUUUUUUGCACGGUAAAAAAUGCGCCAUUCUUGAGAAGCGAUCGACGACUACGCAGAUAGCGUCCUUCCCGGCUUGUGAGCGUGGUAACCCGGUGAUGAAGUCUAAUGAGAGGUCUUCCCACGGUCGUGCCGGAAUGGGUAGCGGCAUAUACAAUCCUUUUGAUGGAGAACCGGAUUUGGUUCGUUGGCAUACCGGGCAAUGUUUAACGAACCUCUUAACUUCUUUGCGUAACCCUGACAAAAAAAAAACGUUCUUCCAGUAGUUGAUACGUUUUGUUGAUGCCAACGUGUCCCCCUAGGUUGUUGCUGUGAAGCUCCCGGAUCAGUUUCAUGCGGAGGUCGGAUCUCGGAAUGCAGAGGCGGUUAUCGGUAAAUAUAAAGCCAUCCCUUAACUGGAAACCUUGAAAUUACCCUCCAUUUCGUAUCUCUUUCCAAACAGGCCCGAAUUCUUCAUCCUGUUCGUAUUCAUGUCUAAUCCCCUCGAUUUUAGGAAUUCGAAGUCGUACGUAAGCUAGUGUCUCGUUCUUUCGGCUAAGAGCAUCUGCCACUUUGUUGGCUUGUCCUGAUUUGUGUAAUAUGGAGAAUGUGAACCUUUGUAAAAAUGUUACCCACCGGAGGUGCAUGCGGUUGACGUUGGUUGCGGCAUUGAUAUCCUUUAACGCUAGGUGAUCCGAUCGGACAAUGAAGUCAUGUUAUAGGAGGUACGGUUCCCAAUUCUUGAAGUCUCGGACGAUGGCGUAAAGUUCGAUUUCGUAGGUGGUCCAAUGACGUCGUCCCUCACCGAACUUUUCGCUAUAAAAUGCGAUUGGAUGACCCUCUUGCGUAAGUACUCCCCCAAUCCCGGUGUUGCACCCAUCGCACUCGACGACGAAUAGCUUGUCAAAAUCCGGAAGUGCAAGAACUGGUGCUGACGUGAGUUUGGACUUGAGUUCUCCGUAGCUAUGGUCGGCUUUGGUUGUCCAAGUGAACGGUCUUUUUUUCAGGCAGUCGGUCAUUCCGGCGGCAAUUGUGCUGAAAUUUCUGAUGAAUCGUCUAUAAAAUGAUGCAAGUCCGAGGAAGCUUCGGACAUCCGUAAUUGUUUUAGGUUCCGGCCAACUUUGUAGUGUUUCCACCUUGCCCUGAUCGGUGGAUAAUCCUCGUGCGCUUACUACGAAGCAGAGGAAUGUUAAUUCCAUGACCCCAAAUACGCAUUUCUCCGUAUUGAGUCGCAAUGCAUUUCGGUCCAGUAGUUGCAAUACUUCGAUCACGUCUGCUUCGUGUGAUUGUGGUCGUUUACUAAAGAUCAGAAUGUCGUCGAAGUAAACGACCGUCGUCCUUCCGAUGACCGAGCGUAGAAUCAUCGUCAUCAGUCUCAUAAAUAUUGACGAGGCAUUCGAAAGUCCAAACGGCAUCAUGACUCAUUCGAACAACUCGGCCGGUGAUUUGAACGUUGUUUUCCAUUCGUCUCCGCUGCGAAUGCGGACUUGGUGAUACCUGCUCCGGAGGUCAAGCUUUUGAAUAUCGUGGCUCCCGAUAAAUGGUCCAAUAGUUCAUCUAUCCUUGGCACCGGAAAACGAUAUCGGAUCGUGAUUUUAUUGAUCGCCCGACUAUCCACACAAAGUCUCCAAUCACCGUUCUUCUUUGGGACGAUGAGUGCGGGGACGGCGCACGGGCUAGUGCUAGGACGGAUAAAUCCUUGCUCAAUGAGUUCGUCAAUUUUCUUUUGCAAGAUUUCGACUUCCUUCGGGCUCAUACGGCAGUGUGGCAAAUUCGGUAAUGACGCCCCUGGAGUGAGUUCAAUCUCAUGGUCUAUCUCUCGCCUAGGUGGUAACGCAGCCGCGAGGUCCGAGGUGGUUGGGUGUGCGUUCAAAAAUUCUUCCUCGUCUUGGGGAAUGAUGAAUGUUUCUUCGGUCCAGAUGGGCUUUGAUGUUAGUGCCCACCCAAAACCCUCUUCCGUGAUCGCUUGGGAUAACUUGGCCAGCGACACUAUUGUUACCACGGGCUUUGGCUCUGUGAUGAUCUGCCCCGGCGGUAGUGGAGUUAACACUAACCUCUUGCCAUUGAAGUCGAGGAUUAUCUGGUUGAUCUUGCCGCGAUGUGUAUAGUAUGUGUCAAAUUGCCAUGGGCGGCCUAGCAAGAUAUGAGAUACAUUCAUAUCGACGACGUCGCAAAGGAUAACGGCUUGGUAUUCUUUACCGAUCGAGAGUGGUACGCGACAUUGCUCGGAUACUCUUUUCAUGUUGGACUCAUCAAUCCAUGAGAUGGAACACGGUUGGGGAUGUUUUAUCGUUGGUAGCUUCAAUGCCUCGACGGCUCGUCUUGUGAUAAGGUUAUCGGUGCUACCGUCGUCUACCAAGAUAUCACAUAACUUUCCUCUAACUGUCCCACGGGUCCGGAACAAGGUGUUGCGUUGGUUGGCAUCGACCACUCGAGGAAUAGUGCAUAGUCGUUUCAGCAUGCAUAUUAACGGUAUCCCGGCAUCAUCGGGCUGGAUCGUUGUCUCUUCCAGUUCGGCCUGUUCUGUUUCAAAAAACUCGGUUUCGUCCUCCACAAUUGUGGUAAAUUGCCGCCGAGGACAGUCCGACGAUUUGUGACUGGGUUGGCCACACUUGUAGCAUAUGAGUGGCGGACGAGUGUAAGGGUCCGGAAAUGUUCUUGCCUUGUCCCCAAGGAGUACCUUGCCAUUAUCGGGUGUGAGAUGCGUCGGUGAGUCGAGUCUCGUGGUCGGCGGGAACGCCGGUGACCGUGAAUUGCGUGAUAAUUGUUUGUCAAUUUAUGAGGCGCGGUUCAUGGAGUCGGCCAACGAGUAGGUGGACAGCACGGAGACUCGGUCUUGGAUGGGAAUGCGGAGGCCGACGAUGAACCGGGCUAUCAUAUGUUCCUCCUCUUCUUUUAACUCGCUGCGGGCUGCCAAGCAGUGGAAGUCGUCCGCAUAAUCGUCCACGGACCGUGAAUCUUGGCGACAGUUCAAGUACUCGGUAAAAAGAGCACGUUGGUAAUUGGCGGGAAGGAACCUCUCGUAUAUGAGGGCCUUCAUCUUCCUCCAUGUUUGGAUUGGUCCCUUGCGGCGAUUAGCUCGGCUGGAUUGCGUUUGGCGCUACCAUGCUUUGGCGCAACCUUUCAACCGGAGCGCAACCAGUUGGGCGGUGGCGUUCUCAUCGACCGGAACAUAUGCAAAAUAUUCGACGACGUCCGCUAUCCAGUCCACAAAUGCCUCGUUGCUUGUCAGUCCAUAAAACAUUGGUAUGUCGGCCAUCAACCGGCUCGAUAGGUGAGGCCCGAUGUUGGCUCGUGGAGGUGGGGGUCGGUCUAGGUAGAAUUCCUCAUCCGAUGAGCCCUCAUCCCUGGUAGAUUGAUCAAUUGAUGGUGUGUUCUGGACUGUUGGUGGGGUAGUGUGGUCUGGACUGUUUGGUGGAAUUGUAGUUGGAGGAAUAUGGGUUGAAAAAUCGGUGGCCGGCUGGAAUAGCUUGGGAAGAUGUGGGGUGGUGGAAUUGUUGUCAUUGGAGGGGCGCCGAUGGAGCUGAGAUUGUAAGAUGGAGGUGUUUGGGAGCCCUUGAGUACUGAUGCAUUCACUGUGGCAAUCAAUGCGCGAAUCUCGGCGUGUUGCUCCUUCAUGAACUCGGCCAUCUUCCGAAGCAUAUCAUCUUGGAAAGUCUUCAGCUCAGAUCGGCGGAUGUAGGGGUCGCUUGAUUCAGCCAUGGGUCGACGCACGCGUGGAUAGAUGCAGUGGUGAAUCUGAUACCAAAUGAUGGGGAGACGAGUAGUGCGCGGAAGUUGACGGGAGGUGGGUUAACACGGAAGAAAAAAUUGGAAGCAGGGAUGGUUUAUUUUAUUGAAAUUAAAUAAGCAACUUGUAAAAUCACAAAGACAAUGAGAAAUCGGUAACUCGUCGGGAGAUCAGGGACACGAGCUGGAAUCGGCAGGGAACACCGGCCUGGAACGGAAGUAACAUAAAAGAGUUAGGGGAGCAGAGUAACGGAAAUGUGGUGUGCUUUUAUAGGAGAAUGAGGCCAAUCUCCAAGGCGUGACUGGUCUGGGCUGUCGAGCUGGAUUGGGCCGCAUCACACACACAACUCUGUAGUAUUCCUCUUAAUCAUUACUGAGGAUGUGUGGGCUCGAGCUAGGGGGCUCAUACACACAACUCUCUAGUAUUCCUCCUAAUCAUUGUCAUCCCCUUCCCUCGUUGGACCAGGGGGUAUAUAUAGAAGUCAUCCAUGGACCUUCGCCGGUCUAGGCCCGUUGCUCGGGUGAGGGGCCUGCGGCCCGUGGUCUGUCUGAACGGGCCUUGGUAUCAACAAGGUCAUUUGUCUAAUAUUGUUCUACUUUAUACUUCAUUUGUGUAUUUAUAAUGUACACAUAAUUGAAGUGAAAUAUGAAAUCUGCAAUUAAUAUUUCUUGUUGAUUGUGGUUGAAUUUUGAAACGAAAAUUAAUCUGAUUUAGUUCCUUUUCCAUUACUUCGUUUUCUAAUAAGUGAAAUAGUUGGUCAUUUCCAUACAUUCUACAAAUCUUCAUUAUCUUUCAAACUCCAUGUUGAUUAAAAUAAGAAAAUAUGUUACAAAUGAUAGGAGGAUUGAUAGUUCUUACACUACAAAAAAAAGGACCUUGUACGGCGGCCUUUAGAUGACGGAUUUCCGCCAUCAAUACUUCAAUAGUUUAGAUGGCGGAUUUCCGCCAUCUAUUCUUUCAGUCCGCCGAGGAAACGUUUUGGCUCGACGGCGGUUCGAAUUUUUUUUCGAUGGCGGUGUUUAGAUGGCGGAAAUCCGCCAUCUAAACUAUCCCGCCCAAAAUUUCGAAUCUCCCCCAAAUGAUAACCCGAUUACCCGAUUAAAUUGACUUAAGAUGGCGGAAAUCCGCCAUCUUAAGUUUUCAGGGACUCGGGCGGAAAAAAGCCCGCCCAAAUUUCGAUUGGGUGGACUUUCACUUAAGUGCUGGCGGCACUUAAGUGUACUUACAUGGCGGAAAUCCGCCAUGUAAGUUUUGGGGUUUAUUAAAAACCCCAAAUCCAGACAGACGCGUUUGUUUUCAUACUUUGGUGAUUCCGCCGACCGUCGACCUCUCCUGCCGAUUCCUUCGCCGUGCGUCCCUGCUGCCCCCGUUCUCGCCUCCAGUCUCGCCUCCGGUCUCGCCUACGGUCUCGCCUCCGGUGGUGCCCGUUCUUCCUUCCGUUCGUAGUUGCUCCUUUCAUACUUUGGUGAGAUUUAUAUAUUUAUAUAUUUCAAUAUUUGUUUUAGUUUUUUGAUUUAGAUUUUUUUAUUUUAUGUUUUGUAUAUGAAUGAAUUAAGUGUACCCUUUUUAAUUUAUACACAAAUAUGUAUGAUAAUCGACUCUAAUCCUUUUUUUAUUCUUCUUUUCGUUCUUAUCUUAAAAAUAAGAUUCUAAAUUUACGACUCUAAUUAAUCUAAUACAGGGAUUUCUAAUAAAAAAGAAAAGUGGAUUCUCAGAGAAUAUAGAAAUUACUUUUAUUCCCUAUUUAAUUUAUUUUAAAUUUUUGUAUCCCCUGCUAUAUUUAUGUAUUAUUCACUAUUAUUAUUUUAUUUAAAUAUACAUUUUCAUAUACUAACAUAUUCUAAUUUAAUUACUUAUUUUCAAUUUUAAUAGNNNNNNNNNNNNNNNNNNNNNNNNNNNNNNNNNNNNNNNNNNNNNNNNNNNNNNNNNNNNNNNNNNNNNNNNNNNNNNNNNNNNNNNNNNNNNNNNNNNNAGAAAAUGCUUGUGAAUGGACUCUUAUUUAAUACAGCAACAAUAUCACAUUACUUAAAUCUCAUCAUCUCAAAACUCAUCUAAUUCCUGUUUAUAUAGUAAAAUUGUGAUUCAUAAGUAGUCAAAGUAUUUAACCAUCUAUUUUUCUUGUGAUUAUUUGUUGCCGGCAGAGAUCCUAGGCAGUACUUUCGACUUUUCAUUUCUCCAUUGUUCAAAUCAAGCAGUCCAGUUGAGUCUCCAUCAAAGAAGGUUAAAUGAUUUAUUGUUAGCACCUCUGUAUAUGUGAACUUCUGUAUAGAAUCUUCCUUGUUGUUUUCUGAUCUAUUUUAUAUGUGAACUUUAUAUUGUUAAAGUUUUGUGAACUUUAUUUAUAUGUGAACUUUUGCGAUGGUUUUUGUAAUGGUUUUUGUGAUGGUUAUUUAUUCUUAAAGUUAUUUAUUUGUAAUGGUUUUUGUGAUGGGUUUUGUUCUUGAUUCUAAUCUAUUGAUCUCUUUAUCUAUCUAUCUUUUUGUUCGUAUUUUUGAUUUGUUUAUUUAUGUAUGGAAUUAUUUAUGGUGUUUGAAUGUUUGGAAAUUUAAUUUUGAUUUAUGGUGUUGGAAUGUUUGGAAUCAUAUAUACUAUAUAUUAUCUAUGUUUGAUUAAUUUACUGUUUUUAAAUUAAAGAAUUAAUAAAUAAUUUUAAAAAUAAUUUAAAAUCUUUAUUUGAUUUACUGUUUUUAAUUAAAGAAUUAAUAAUAUUUUGAAAUAAAUAAAUAAUUUACUGUUUUUAAAUAUUUUUAAAAUUAAUGAAAUCAAUUAUUUGAUUUACUGUUUGUAAUUAAAUAAUUAAUAAUAUUUUGAAAUAAAUAAAUAAUUUACUGUUUUUAAAUAUUUUUAAAAUUAAUGAAAUCAAUUAUUUGAUUUACUGUUUGUAAUUAAAUAAUUAAUAAUAUUUUGAAAUAAAUAAAUAAUUUACUGUUUUUAAAUAUUUUUAAAAUUAAUGAAAUCAAUUAUUUGAUUUACUAUUUGUAAUUAAAUAAUUAAUAAUAUUUUGAAAUAAUUAAAUAAUUAAAUAAUUAAAUAAUUGAUUUUAUUUGAUUUAUUUAAAUAAUUGUAAUUAAAUAUCAAUUUAAUUAAUAAUUUAUAUGAAUCUAUAUCUUAAUUAAUUAUUUGCAUGAAAUAAAUUUAUUUGAAUUAUUUUCUGUUUUUAAAUUAUUUAAAAAAUAAUUAAUUAAUUUAUGUUUUUAAAUAAUUUAAAAUUUAUAUAAAAUAAUUAAUGUGUUUUUGAUUUGUUAUAGGUUUUUUAAAAUCAAGAUUGAAGUAAGUUUUGGAUUGAAGUAAAAGCUCAUUUGCGGUAAAAAUUAUAUAAUUUCAUAUGAUCAAUUUAUUUUCAAAUUAUUUAAUUUAUUGUUAAAAUAAAUUAUUAUUUUAAUUAUCAAAUGAAAUAAGAAUAAUUAGUAUUUUAUUAAUUGAUUAACAAUUAUUAAAUAUUAAUUUGUUAGUAAUGAAAUAUGUGCAUGAAAUAAUAUAUGAUCAUUUUAAUUAUUUAAUUAAUUAUUAAAUUGAAAUAAUAAUGAUUAAUUUGCAUGAAAUUAUUAUUAUUUUAAAUAAUUAGUAAUUAUUAAAUUGAAAUGUUAAUGAUUAAUUUGCCUGAAAUUAAAAUUUUGUUAAUUAAUUAAUAAUUAUUAAAAAAUUGUUAAUUAAUUAAUAAUUUGUUAAAAAUUUGAAAUAAUAAUCAUUAAUUUUCCAUGAAAUGAUUAUAUUGUAGCAAUGACAAGAUAAUUACCUUUCUACUAAGCCAUUGCUUAAUUAUUUGUUUGUUUGAAAAAUAUUAAAUUAAUAAAUUUAAUAUUUUUUUAGAUUUUAAGAAAUGCCACGUAGAGUGAAGCAAUUACCUCGUCGGAGGCCGCUCUACCACCCAAUCCCCAAGAUGCUUUUCGGUUUUAUCUAGAAUUGAACUAGCUAGAUUACGUACCUAGUUCAAUAAUUAGCUAGAUUUUCCCAAAAAAUUGAACUAUAACUAAUAUUGUAAUAGUCAAAUAAUUUUUAUCUAAUUAAUUAUAAUUCGAUAAAAAUUUAAAUUUUUAGGAUAAUGUCGAACGUUAUGAAAGUACCCGAUAAAGCUUGGAUGAGUUUAGAUCGGUUUUCGAAAGAAUACGGCGAAGGGUUAACAGCUUUCACUUAUUUCGCCAUUUCGAAUUCGACUCACCCAGAAGGUUAUUUACCAUGUCCAUGCUCGUCCUGCACGAAUAGUGAAGUGAUUCCUAUAAAGGAGAUGAGGAAGCAUAUUUUCAUAAAUGGUUGGUUGAAACAUUACGAUGUUUGGACGCGUCACGGAGAGUUACCGAGUAGAUAUGGUGAGAAAAAAGUGAAACGAAAAGAAANNNNNNNNNNNNNNNNNNNNNNNNNNNNNNNNNNNNNNNNNNNNNNNNNNNNNNNNNNNNNNNNNNNNNNNNNNNNNNNNNNNNNNNNNNNNNNNNNNNNNNNNNNNNNNNNNNNNNNNNNNNNNNNNNNNNNNNNNNNNNNNNNNNNNNNNNNNNNNNNNNNNNNNNNNNNNNNNNNNNNNNNNNNNNNNNNNNNNNNNNNNNNNNNNNNNNNNNNNNNNNNNNNNNNNNNNNNNNNNNNNNNNNNNNNNNNNNNNNNNNNNNNNNNNNNNNNNNNNNNNNNNNNNNNNNNNNNNNNNNNNNNNNNNNNNNNNNNNNNNNNNNNNNNNNNNNNNNNNNNNNNNNNNNNNNNNNNNNNNNNNNNNNNNNNNNNNNNNNNNNNNNNNNNNNNNNNNNNNNNNNNNNNNNNNNNNNNNNNNNNNNNNNNNNNNNNNNNNNNNNNNNNNNNNNNNNNNNNNNNNNNNNNNNNNNNNNNNNNNNNNNNNNNNNNNNNNNNNNNNNNNNNNNNNNNNNNNNNNNNNNNNNNNNNNNNNNNNNNNNNNNNNNNNNNNNNNNNNNNNNNNNNNNNNNNNNNNNNNNNNNNNNNNNNNNNNNNNNNNNNNNNNNNNNNNNNNNNNNNNNNNNNNNNNNNNNNNNNNNNNNNNNNNNNNNNNNNNNNNNNNNNNNNNNNNNNNNNNNNNNNNNNNNNNNNNNNNNNNNNNNNNNNNNNNNNNNNNNNNNNNNNNNNNNNNNNNNNNNNNNNNNNNNNNNNNNNNNNNNNNNNNNNNNNNNNNNNNNNNNNNNNNNNNNNNNNNNNNNNNNNNNNNNNNNNNNNNNNNNNNNNNNNNNNNNNNNNNNNNNNNNNNNNNNNNNNNNNNNNNNNNNNNNNNNNNNNNNNNNNNNNNNNNNNNNNNNNNNNNNNNNNNNNNNNNNNNNNNNNNNNNNNNNNNNNNNNNNNNNNNNNNNNNNNNNNNNNNNNNNNNNNNNNNNNNNNNNNNNNNNNNNNNNNNNNNNNNNNNNNNNNNNNNNNNNNNNNNNNNNNNNNNNNNNNNNNNNNNNNNNNNNNNNNNNNNNNNNNNNNNNNNNNNNNNNNNNNNNNNNNNNNNNNNNNNNNNNNNNNNNNNNNNNNNNNNNNNNNNNNNNNNNNNNNNNNNNNNNNNNNNNNNNNNNNNNNNNNNNNNNNNNNNNNNNNNNNNNNNNNNNNNNNNNNNNNNNNNNNNNNNNNNNNNNNNNNNNNNNNNNNNNNNNNNNNNNNNNNNNNNNNNNNNNNNNNNNNNNNNNNNNNNNNNNNNNNNNNNNNNNNNNNNNNNNNNNNNNNNNNNNNNNNNNNNNNNNNNNNNNNNNNNNNNNNNNNNNNNNNNNNNNNNNNNNNNNNNNNNNNNNNNNNNNNNNNNNNNNNNNNNNNNNNNNNNNNNNNCACCGACUGAUAUAACGUUGACUACUUUACAACAGAAACAGUUGCAUCAAUGUAUAUUGUUUGAUCUUGAAAGUGUCGAACCAUAUCGAAAUAAACACUUGAAGCAAUUGAAAGUUAUGUUUCCAAAACACACACAGCUUCGUCUGGAAAAUUUACACUUCAAGCAAUUUGCCGAUUGGUUUAAAAAACACAUGUCCGAAGCUCAACAAUCUGACACAGACUUGAAUUCUAUUUCCCACGGACCAAGUUGUUUUGCUUCAAUUUAUAGUGGUUACAUUAUGAAUGGAUUAAAAUUUCAGACGUUAGAAUUGACAAAUCGUAGAUCGACGCAAAAUAACGGUAUUUUUCUAUCGGCUACAACAUCAACGUAUGCAAAAUCUCCAAAUGAUGCUCCGUUGGUAGCAGAAAUUGAAUAUCAUGGAUUAUUAGAAAAUGUCUUCGAAAUUUGCUACGGUCACAUGACGAAAUAUUGUCUGUUUGAAUGUAAGUGGUACGAUCCUGGAAAAGCAGGUACUAAACUCGAUGAUUUUGGUGUCGUUUCAGUUAACACGACACGGGGGAAAUUUGGAAAGGAACCAUUCAUUUUGGCAAAUCAAGCUCAACAAUGUUUUUACAUUCAAGAUCCGGUAGAAUCUGAAUGGAGUUCAGUCCUUAAAAUACCAAAUAGAGAUAUUUUCGAUGUUGAUAAUGAUGAUUGUUGUAAUUAAAUUAUAAAGUAUUACAUUACAGUAUAAUUUAAUAUUUUCAAUGUAAUAUCAUGUUGAUUAUAAAUAUUUCUUUUUUUCAGUCAAACAUUAGUCAACUACUUGCAAUCGUCGCACGAUAUGAACGACUAGAGCGACUUAAACAGAUUCAACGUAGUUUUCACAAAAACAUAGAUUAUUAUUGUCGUGUUUUUGCUUGUUUCUGUUGUGGAGUCAACGGUCAUCAUUUUCAGAACUGUCCAAAAUUAUGGUCGACAAAUCCUCAAACAAUGGAAACCGGUCAGAUUUUAGUGUUAGGAUACGAGGCUAGAGUGUUGAAUGAUUGUGGUGGCACACAUUCAUUCAAAAUCGAAUACAACUCUUCUCACGACGACUUCGAAGAUUUGUUGUGUUUAAUAAUAAAGAAUGUAAAUUACAAUAGGAAAAAUAUUUGGUUGUUGUGUCAGACCAAGACCCCAUAUACGGGUGUCUGGCUAUGUAUUUAAAAUAACUGAUUUUAUUUUCAAAUUUAAACAUUUCAGAUUAUGUUUACUGUUUUCGUUCUGCUUGGUCUUAUCACACCUUUCAUGGCAUUAGCGAUGGUUACAUCCCGUCGCUCUUUCGAAGAGUCAAGCUCAAGUGGUCAGUUCAUUAUUAAUAUUUUAAAUAUUAUCAUGAUUUUUAUUAAAUAUUAAUUUUUAAAUAUGUAAAUUAAUUAGAUGCGAGGCCAUCCACUUCAAAUGUGCCUCCAGAAAAGAAGGGUCGUGGUCGCACAAAAGACCACCCCCAUAACCAUCCAGAGAAAGGUACGAAGUGGAAGGUUAUGUUUGAUAACACAAACCAAGCCACGGAUGAAAUGGCGAAGAAGUUAACGACAAGAAUGACUCUUUUAGCAAAAGACCAUACUCUAUUCCCGUACGACAUUGAGUGGCGUCAUCAACCACAACAGAAUUUUCAAGACGCGCUAAAAAUAUUAACUGUAAGUAUAUAAUUUUUUAUAUAAUUUAUUAAUUUUUCAAAACUUAUAAGUUUUGAAUAUGUAGGCUGAAUAUGAUUUAAGUGGAAGCAAAGCUGCACAAACUUACAUCAAUGGCAGGCUUAACAAACUCUGGAGGAGCAACCAUAAUUCUUUGAUUAAAACUUAUGGCUCUGAUCCUGAUAUGAGAGAAGAAGACAUUUUAGCGACUCUUCCGCCGUAUGUCAGCAAACCUCAAUUUCUAAAUAAAUUGAGAUAGCAUCGUUCGGAAAAAGGAAAGGUACGUAUAUGUAUAUAUAUAUAUUUAUUAUAUUAAUUAUUUUUGAAACUUAUUAUUUUUUUAAUUUCAGCAAAUUUCCGAGAUAAACACCGCAAACCGAGCGAAUCAAAUGACACAUCACGCUGGUUCAAAAGGAUUAGCGCAAAGACGUCAUGAAUUGGUAAUUUAUUUAUAAUUUUUAUAUUUCUUUUUAUAUAUUAAUGAUUUAUGUGAAUAUAGAUGCAACAAGGAAGGAGUGAAGUCGAAGCUUGGUCAGAGACUUUACAAAUGACUUAUAAAGGAAGCGAUAAAGUUGUAAGUGUUUUUUAAAAAUUAUUUAUAUUUUCUAAUUUAUAUUUUCAUUGUUUGAUUUUGUUAUUCUUUCAGCUUGAAACCACGGAAUUUAUCAAAACUCCAGAGGCAAAAUCGUGGGCUGAAUCUGAAUCAAUGACUCCAAUUGUAAGUUCCAUUGAUUAUUUUAAUUAUAUUUCGUUUUUCUUAUUUUUUUUUUAUAUAACGCAGCAAUUUAUCGAAGCGACGGUCAACAAGACUUUCGGCAAAAAUAGGAAGAAUCGAAUAAUUGGAAUCGGAGAAGCUGCAAGUAUGGUGAGCACAACAAACGAAAGUUGCCUGCUCCAAAUUGGAAAGGAAAAGACCAGAUCUCAGAGAGCACGACUGUUGAUGCACCACCAGAUGCAGUAUGGUCGGAAAAAUUCAAAGCAUUGGAGGUAUUUACAAUAUAUUUGAAUAAUUUUGUUGAUUACCGAACUCAUUGUUGUUUUCAUUUUCAGAACAAGUGUAACGAGAGUCAAAAAGACGUCUCGAAAUACAAGAAAAAGUUCAAUGCUAUGAAAUCCUAUAUGAAGAAACUGAACAAGACUUUGAAGACUUCUGGACUAGACAUGACGCAGAUGGCUUCUACUUCAAAGUCAACAAUACCGUCUGCAUUCGGAUCAGAUAAUUCUGAUUCUGAUUCAGAAGACUCGCUUUCAGACGAG